CCCGUAGCUGUACACGUCGGACUUCUCCGUCACGCCGGCGCCCAGCAGCCACUCCGGCGCCAGGUACCCCGUCGUGCCGCGCACCGUCGUCACCACCCGGCUCUGCUCCUUCCCCAUCAGCGCCGACAGCCCGAAGUCGGAGAGCAUCCCCCGGAGGCGGUCGUCGAGGAGGAUGUUCUCCGGCUUCACGUCCAGGUGCACCACCUUGGCGCGGCAGUCGUGGUGCAGGUACGCCAGCGCCUUCGCCACGUCGACGGCGACCUGGUACCGCUGCAGCCACGUCAGGCACCGCCCGCCGCCGCCGCCACCGUGCUGCGGGAAGAUCCACUUGUCGAGGGACCCGUUCUCCAUGAACUCGUAGACGAGGAAGCGCGGGCCGUUCCGGACGAGGCAGAAGCCGAGGAGGCGGACGAGGCUCACGUGCUGCACGCUGCCGAUCGCCGACACCUCCGACCGGAACUCCUUGUCCACGUGCGGCGACCCGUCGAUCCGCUUCACCGCCACGGCCGUGCCGUCGUCGAGGAUACCCUUGAACACCGUCCCCGACGAGCCCCGCCCGAUCACGCACUGGAAGUCGUCCGUCGCCGCCGCCAGCGCCUCCAGCGAGAACCGGCUGGGCAGCCCGGCGACCUUGCGGAAGAAGCUGUACUCCACGCGCACCGACACCUCCGCGCCGCCGCCGUCCAUCGCCGGCCGCCGCGCCAUGCGCUCGGCCCGCCCCUGGUGGCACAGCAGCGCCGCUACGGUGCCCGCCAGCACGGCCGACAGGAUGACCGCCGUCGAGAGGUAGAAGGGCCGAGACAGGCGGAAGCAGAGGAACAGGGAGAGCUCGAGGGCCGCCAGCACGACGGCCGCCACGCCGGCGAGGAUCUUGGCCGUCUUGCCCUCCAUCGAUCACGCCAACGCCAUCACUUCACCGCCCGGCGGCGGCGACGCCGCUCAGCUUCACCAGUUCACCACUCGCUCUGACUUGGCGUUCUUGCACUUCGUCGUCGCUAUCCGAGCUAGUUUUGACGCGAUGCUUGGUAAAUAUACACAUGGGAGAUGAGAGAGAUGACAUGCAACUCUUUUGACGAAUUUAACGACAGCGAUGUCUCAACCAAUCCUUGAGGUUUGGUUCUUAACAGUGGCUGUGUCGCAAUAUUCUGACUUGAUCAGAGAAAGGAUACGGUAGGUAGGGGGAGAACUGGAGAACGGUUCAGAUGAACAAAUGGAUCAAAUGGCAAUGCAGUGCAGAUGGUAUCCCUGUCAUGUCGAAUUCAACAUAAAUUUCAUGUGCAGUGAAGAAACCAUCACUUGAAUGGUCAAACUGAGGAAAGAGCACACUGAUUCAACGGCUCGGGUGACAUCAGUGUGUAGUGGAUUUGUGUGGUGUCGGUGUCUCGGUGUCUGUACUUUGGCCAAAUCCAAAGUUGAAUGUUUCGUCCAUAACGGUUCAGCAUUUAAGCAACAUCAGUGAUUCAGCCACGUUGGCAUUUGGAAACUAUAGGAGAAACAAUGUUAUCUUGACUGUUUCGUUGAAGCCUCUGCUUAUCUGAUAAAUUCUCAGAGACAGCAACUGCAAUUUCAGCAGACCAAGGUGUGAGCAGUAUUCACUAUUCAGACAACAAAUCUUCCAUCAGCGGAUUUGUAAAGGCGAACGGGGAACAUAGAAUCAACCAGACAAAUAUGCUUUUUUUUAUCUUGAUUCAGCACAACAUCUGAUUGAAUAGCAAAAGUACAUUGUUGCGUAACGAAUUCCAUUAUUUGUAUAGCCGAGUUUCUUAAGUGAUUACUCCAGCUUCCAAGCUAUGGGAUAAUCAGGUUGACAUGGUCUACUGAACUCUAUAAGGCCCAAAGGCUGAAGUUUUCCACAGCUUCACAACACUGCGACAAAAACUGUAUCAGGCACCCAUUUAUUGCCAUGUCCUACAGAACCUUACUGAUGGUGGUCGUCGUCAUCAUCAUGUCCAUCAGGUGAUCCUCCUUCUCCAAUCACAUUAAGCUGCAGAGAUAAAGAUGGAAGCUUGUAACUCAGCAAACGUUUGCUCUUGGAAUGCAAGGACCUUAUCAGGAAACCAACGUACCGUGAAAUAUUGAGUACAGACCGGGCAUUCAUGUGGCUUGCCUCUCUCCAACCAAAACCACACCACAUCAUGCUCAUCUUCUGCAGAAGGUCAAUAACAAUUGCAGUAUAGGCCAAUUAGAUAACUGAAGGGUUCAUGAAUGUUUCUAAAUAAUUCAUUUUUUAUCUAGAUAAGAUACAGGUGAGGAUUUGAAUUCUGGAACCCUCUUGGUUGAAACUUGAAAGACUCAAGGGAUAUUUAGCAUCAGCAGUAGUGUACCUCCUUCACCGCCAGGACAACCAACAAUCCUUUUGUUGUAGUAUGACUGAAUCACAGCAGGAGCUUCCUAUUCAAGGAACAACAUAGACAGAUAUCAGUUUAGCUGAACACUUAAACCACACAAGAAUCAAACAAAUCUAACUAAAAAAUUAUGCAAAUGACACAUGUAAGCAAAACCACAAUUCAUAUAGCACACUACCAAGUGAUUCACUGAAUUCCCAACUGAUGUCAGUCAAAAGACAAAGUCAUGACAAUAAUAAACACAAAGAAGAAUCAGUCAUACAAAGACCAUCUAUGCAGCGCGUUACAGAAAUUCAGGAUAGCCUACGUUAGAGUCUAAGAAAUACAAAAGACAGUCAUCUAAGAAACAGCAGAUUCCACUUCAAGAACAGAGUGACUUCUAUUGAGUCUUCCAUAACGAACAGGAAAGCGUCAUGGAUUGUUGAACUAGAGCUCUUCACUACAGUCUACAGCAAUGCUUAUUUGGACAGGGAACACACUGAAGAAACAUAUGUAACCUUGAGCCAUAGAGUUUUUCAAAUGAAACUACAGUUGCAUGAUAAAGUCUUAAAUUGAAUUCUGAAACAACACCAGAAAGAUAAACAGCAGUAAACAGAACAAGAAUCACAAGAUAAUCCAAUCAAAUAGCAAAAUCAAGAUGCCUGUAGGUAUUGAAAUUCAAUAGGUGUUCCAUAAUUGGUGCUUAGAAAUUAGUAUGCUAAAGAAAACCUGAAAAGUAGAUUUAACAUGCUAAUACAAUUGAUCUACUAAAGUUAGAGCAAAUUCAAAAUGAUAAAAGCUUCCUUUUUUGAAAAUGCAUUUGAUGAAAGUGUGUGAGCCAACACUAUUAUAUGCCGCAAAGAAUGACCACAAGCUACAAACUUAUAUAGGCCCAGAAAGUCCAAACAGAACUGGAUAGUUUAAACUUAAGAACAAUUCAUUGGUCUCAUAAUUAUUGCCAUAAAUCUUCCACAACUCAAGAAAAAAACACCCAAUGGUGGAGAUCAAAUCCAUCUACAUAUGUGAGUUGUGACACAUUGCCCUGAAUAAAGUAAAGAAGACCAGUGAUUGGUCAGCUCUUAUCCCAACAUCUGAAAAUAUACUCUGUAUCUUCACCUAUUCCACGGAAUAUGUUCAAACAAGCAUCUCAUCUCACGCGGACAAACAAAUUAAUCUAAACGAACACAUAUCACAUCCGCAACCGCAAGUCAGAUGAUUGCACAUUGACAUUUCAACACAUAUUCACAAGUCACAACCCCAUCCAAAGCAACCGAUUCAGUGGUCCCAGUUGCUCACGCAUCAAAGGGAAUGUAGAAGAAGGUAUUAGACGGAAAGCCCUCACCUUGGUGCCAAAGGGACCGACGGGGGCGUCCAUGUCGAAUCUCUUCUUUCCCUGUACAGAAAAAAAAAACAAAUCCAACAAAAUUUAAUAUUUUUUACCAACAUAUGACCUGUAAUAAGAAAUGAAGCGGCUGCAACCGGGCAAAGCGGCCGUGCGGGGAGACCUGGAGCUCGGCCUCGAUCUCCUCGCGCUCGAGCCCCGUAGCGAUCGGCAUCACGUCCUCAACCCUAGUCCUCGUCCGGGCCGCAUCUGAAGAAAAACGCAGCCUUGCCAUCAAAUCGGGGCUACGGCCUGAGCUUGUGAGAAACGGGAAGGGUCGUUACCGAGAGUGGAGAAGACAAGGGGCGCCGGAGUACGGCGGAGACCAGGCACGGUGGCAGCGGAGACCGCCGGGGAUCGGGGGAGCAGGGCGGAGCGGUGGUGGCGGAGGAGGAGGGAGGUGGCGCGCUUCCACAUGGCGGCCGGUGAAGGCAGCGGCGGCACGAGCGGACGGUGGAGAGAAGAUGGAGAGGGUGCCUACAAAACAAGAAAAGGCUCCUGCCAAUUUAGGAUAUUUAAUUAUUUGCCGUUGAGAAACCACUUUUAAAAUGACACCGGCAUAUUUGCCGCCAGAGACGUUUUACUAACAAAAUUGCCAAUUUUGCUGACAUGUCAAGCCACGUCCUCACGCCAGGAUGGAUUAAGCAUGACAAAUGACCAUAAUACCCCUGCAUUUCUUCUCCAAGCAUGGGUGCUUUUCCUCUCUUCCUCCCUCUCUAUCUUUGACCGGUGGGACCCACCCUCUUCUUCCACCUCAAGGUGAAGCUCAACAAGACCAGGAGCACGUGCAGUGAUGACCUCCAAUGGCAGGUCCCAGGCGCCGGAGCAUCGCAAUAUCUUGGCAGGCGCGGAGGGCCCCUGAAGGUGUGGCCCCAGGCUUCCUCGUUGCCGGCCCCAGCCCUAUCGACGUACCUGGAGCUGCCACCGCCGCACCCCGCCGACGCGGCCGCCCGCCCAAGCCGCGGGACCUACACACGCCGCCCAAGAUCCCACACCCGCGCGCUCGCCCGCGCACGACCCCCCGCUCCGUGACGAGGGUGAAGGCACUCUUCGCGACCCACUCUCUGUCUCGUCGGCGCCGCCGUCCCGAAACUACUUGAUCUCCGCCGCAAACCCGCCUCCUGCACUAGCACUACCUGGCUGACCCACCGGCCCACUGGCAAUCUCCAUGAAGGCGUCGAUCAAGUUCCGCAACGACGACCGGCCGCUGAUGCAGGCCAAGGUCCCGAUCGGCGUGCUCGGGCUACCGUUCCAGUCGGGGCUCACAGCAGGGGCAACCCGCGGGAGCUCCGCUUAAAGUGGGGUGUGUGCUGUCCCUAUUGGGCUGGGCCCUUCCCCAUAAGCCCUCAUCGUCGGGGCAUAAGCGCCCUUCUUCGACCGCUCCACGGCCUUCGCGUCGAGCCCAUCGCUCCGCCUCUCGUACUGCCCCAACAAACCUGGCCUCCCCUUCGCGCUCACCGUCCGCGCGGGGCUCGGCCUGCUCGGCUCCCUAGCGCACGAGCCCUUCGCACUCACCGCCGAGUUCAACCUCCUCUCCCCCAACCUUUCCACGCCGGCCUUCUUCCUCCAGCUUCAGCCCCACCUCGGCGACUUCUCGCUUUCCCACACGUUCCGCUCCCCUGCCGCCGCCGCCUCCCCGACGCCCCGUAAGGUCAGGGAGGCGGCUCCCGACGGUGACGGCCUCGGCCACGAGUGAGAGUUCGUGUACAAGUUAUCGUUCUCGUUCACCGGGAGCGGGCUCGCGGCGGACGUGGCAGCAGCGGGGACGAAGAAGAGGGUGACGAGGGGUAUUAUGAUCAUUUGCCAUGCUCAAUCCACCUUGGCGCGUGGACGUGGCUUGACACGUCAGCAAAAAUGGCAAAUAUGUUAGUAAAACUUCUCUCUGGUGGCAAAUACGUAGGUGUCAUUCUAAAAGUGGUUUCUUAAGGAGUGUCAUUUCUAAGGAUGGCAAAUAAUUAAGUAUCCCACCAACUUGGGUGUUUGACUGUUUUCGGCCUAUAGACCGGUAUACGGGCCCGACGCCCCGACUUGGGUUGGUUGUAAAAUUUUACAAAUUGAAACAAAGUAACUAAUUUGAACUACUCGAAAACAGCAAUUAUAUGCACUCACUUUGCACUAUUGUUAAAUCUAAGAAUUGUUUUUUUUGACAAAAUAUAGCAAUUGAUGACUGGGCUUGAAAAUGACUAAAACAUUCUACAAACAAGUGGGCUGAUGUCGAUGCUGAGGUUUCGUGCUUAACUCAAAAUAACACCAUAGGAUGGCAUAUGGUUCUUGCCAAAGACGGUGAAUCCACCAAAUUGUGAUGUUUGUAAGCAUUAAAUUACUUGAUUAAUAUAUGCCCCCUUUUUAAAAAGAAAUACCAUGGGAUUUGAAAAAAGCAUUUGUUUAUUGCAUACAUUGUCAAAAUUGCUAUCAUGCUGUACCAACUACUUUCAUACGAAUAGCAAUUAUGCAUUUUUUACACUAAUGAAAUUCAAAUAAGAUACAAGAAAAAUUGAAGCAAAUAACUUUUUUCCCUUUUUUCUAAGGAUGGGACAUAAUAAGUACCAAACAUUAUGAAAUGAGCUUAUAGUUUUUUUUUACCGAAGUCAGCCCUAAACUAUUUUUUUUAUUUUUAUUUCAGACCAAAGUACCAUCCAACAAGCAUGAGUACGACUCUCUAUCAGAGCGAAUUAACAAAUGAGCUUAUAGUAUUACCUAGUAAAAGAAAAAAAGAAACUCAAUAGGUAACUCUAUCUACAUUGUAACGCUCUAGAUUUCUGAAUGGAAACAAUCACAUGAAUUGAUCCAAACUUAAAGUUCAUCCGAAGUACAACUGAAUUUCAACUGGCCGGUUGAGCGUGAGCUUCCAAAUUUAGUAACACAUCAACCAGAGCACGAAAAACAGAGAAGAUCCAAGGGCUGACAUUCAUCCAAACCACCCUUUAAAAGACACACCUCCAUAAACCCUAGCAAUCAAGCAUCUUUCCUCUCAAAACUCGCGAAAACCCCCUGUCGGCUACCCCCCACACCCGCCUCCACCCAUGGCGUCCCUCCCUAACGGCGCCGCCGCCGCCGCCGCCGGUUCCUCCGGCGCGCGCCCGGUGGACAAGGAGGUGGACUUCGCCAACUACUUCUGCACCUACGGCUACCUCUACCACCAGAAGGAGAUGCUCUGCGACCGCGUCCGCAUGGACGCCUACCACUCCUCCGUCUUCCGCAACGCUCCCCACUUCCAGGGCAAGGUGAGGAAUCCCUGAAUCCCCUUAAAAAAUCGUUUUUUUCCAGCAAUUUGGGUGUCUGAUUUGAUGAAUUUGGCGGAUCUGUCAGGUAGUCCUUGACGUGGGUACCGGGAGCGGCAUCCUUGCCAUCUGGAGCGCGCAGGCCGGGGCCAGGAAGGUGUACGCCGUCGAGGCGACUAACAUGGCGGAGCAUGCGCGCGAGCUCGCGCGCGCCAACGGCGUCGCGGACAUUGUCGAGGUGAUACAGGGCACCGUGGAAGACAUUGAGCUGCCGGAGAAAGGUGUGCCUUAAUUUCUUGAUUCUUCUUCUUACUGCUGUUCCUGAAUCCUAAGUCGAUGGUAAAAUUAAGUAAUCUAUGUCCCAAUUGGAAAGGCAUUCCAACUAUAUGACUAUAUGAGCUACAUGCUUUUUUUAUUAUAUCAGGUGAAAAUUUCUAAUUUACACGAAAUCUGGAAGUUACGAUGUGUCGAGUGUUGACUAUGUUUCUGUAUGUUGUUUGGAACUGCAGUUGAUGUCAUUAUAUCAGAGUGGAUGGGCUACUUUCUUUUGAGAGAAUCCAUGUUCGAUUCCGUCAUUUGCGCGCGUGACCGCUGGUUGAAGCCAGAUGGUGUAAUGUAAGUGUAUGCUGCAAGUUACGUUAACAAACACUAUCAAAGUUCUUCUUAGAUAGAAAACAAAUCCCCUUUUCAAUCUUUUGUUCCUGCACACAGAAUGCACAUUUACUUUGUGUAAGAUCAUUCUUUUUGCAGGUAUCCUAGUCAUGCUAGGAUGUGGCUAGCACCCAUAAGAACUGGUUUGGGUGACAAAAAGUUGGAAGACUUGGAUAUUGCUAUGGAAGACUGGAGUCUAUUUGUUCAGGACACUCAAGCUUAUUAUGGAGUCAAUAUGAAUGCUUUGACAAAGGCAUAUCGUGCAGAACAUGAAAAAUACUAUCUGAAGGUAUGUUAUCUUCGUUUCUCUUCUCAUGCUGCAGUCAUGGAAUUUAAAAUUCAGGGAUUUUCUUAGCUUGUGAACACCUUAUAUCUUUUCAUAGCAAAUUAAUGUGUCUCCUUUUAAGUAAGUAUAACAAAUGUGUUGCCACGCCCUUCUGAGUAAUUGGAAGAAUCAAUAUCCUUUUCACUUAUUUUGAAAUACUUGUAGUUAUACAAGCCUAUAUUAUUUUCUCCAUUGAAAUUUGAGCCCUGUUAUUUUAAUUUAGCCUUUUCAUCCUAUGAAGCAUGCCCUAGGUGUUUAUCCUAAAUCUGGGUAUCCUAAAAGCUCUUGCUAAGAAAUCAGCAUGCAAAGAGCAGCGAAUGACUAAGCCUGUAUGUUUCAUGGGCCUUUCCCGCUCACUUAAUGUUCACAUGAUUGUAUCCUUCUGCAGUCUUCGAUAUGGAACAAUCUCCAUCCAAACCAAGUUAUUGGCCAACCUGCAGUUAUUAAGGAAAUUGAUUGCUUAACAGCCACUGUUGAUGAGAUUCGAGAAGUUAGAGCACAAGUUACGUUGCCAAUCAGCCUGGAUGGAACUAGAUUAUCAGCACUGGCUGGAUGGUUUGAUGUUCAUUUUCGAGUAUGUGAGACUUAAUUGCAGCCCACUUCAUCUUAUGACAAUGUUACGACUUAUGCAAGGUGCUCAUUAUGUUUUAUGAUAAUUUUCAGGGUAGUGCGCAAAACCCUGCUGUGGAGGAAGUUGAGUUAAACACUGCUCCAGUUGAGCAUGGGGGAACUCAUUGGGGCCAGCAGGUUGGUUUCCUGGAACCAUUGUUCUUUGGUAAUUCCUAAAAUAUGUUACGAGAUAUAGCUUAUAGUUACAAAUUGUUCAAUCCUAUUUUCUACUUCAACUUGUAAAUGUUGACCCAUAACGUAAAAAAAUUGUGUGCACUUAAGGAAAAUAUGUCUGUUUUCUUCUUUGAAUUUUUAGUAUAGGCAGGAGCAGGGAGCAAACCUUCUCUUGACUCCUGCAAAAAGAAGUCAAGAUGUUAUGGAUGCUCUUAUGAAGAAAGAAACUUGUUUUAAGAUACAUAUUUAUUUCACCGAAAUCAGUAUAUUAUGGGUGCUCUUAUUUGAAGUGAUAACUUUUGCAAAACAACACUCUUUUUCAAUUGAUUGUGUCAUUAUUUUAAUGCAUGCCAUUCUUAAAUUAGUAGCUGGUCUGGAAAAAAAAUCAUCAGUUUUCUUUUUUCUUUUCAAGGUAUUCUUGCUGACUCCACAUCUGAAAGUAUCUAAAGGAGACAAUGUUAAUGUUUCCUUCUCGAUGGUUCGCUCAAAGGAAAACCAUCGACUUAUGGAUAUGGAGUUCACCUAUGAAUUGCAUGAGUUCUCUGGCAGGAAGCACCCAGCAGUCACAACCAAGAUGUACUUGGAGUAGAACAAGGUUCAGUUCACAAAACUAUGAUUUGCUUAUGAAUUUCGAUUAAAUUGGUUUUGUUAUUAUAUCAUAUGCAAAUGCAUUGGGUGAUAAUGAAGAUCACUAUUCACUAUUGUUUGACAAAAUGCCACUGAUUUAUGCUUUGACAGAAUGCUGACCUGAUUCGUUCGAUGAAAGAUGGGACACCGAUAACCAUGUGUCCUGCUGUCGCGGUCGCUGAACCUUUAAACCCUUGCUCAGAAGCUGAGCAACUGUAAUCCUUAGUAUGAUGUGUGGUAUUAUACAUAGCAUGGGCUUUAAGGUCACCGUGUGCUAUACCCAUGAUUUGUACAAUGAGACCAUUAGGCAUGAUUUAGUGCCAGAGAUUUUGUUGUAUUGGUAAUAUCUUAUUGUUUGAUUAUUCGAGUAGUGGGAGCCAUUGCUUCUCAAUGUUGAUGUAUUGGCCGGUGUUGAUCCACAUUAUUACGGUAUUUAUACUCUUUGGUGGAGCUCCUGGGAAAUACUGUAGCAGCUGUUUUGCACUGUAGCGAGAAGCAGUUGCGCAAAUUUACUGUAGAAAAGCUGCUGGAUUAUAUCAUUAAAUUUCUGGAAUCUGCUGCCAACAUUUGCUCAAUUCAUCUGUUCUUUUCAGUGUCUGCCCCCUCAAAUUUGCCAUUCCAUUUGAUUCAGAUUGGAAUUGGUGCAUGCGAAAGUAACCUUAUUGACUAAUACAAGGCACCUCAGUGUAGCACCGGCAUUUUAGUAUUUACAUCCAAAAUACAUUACAGCGUAGCGUAUCGUCUUGUAAAUGCUUUACGGGGUCACCUAAUCACCAGAAUAGCACAGGCAUUUUAGUAUUUAUAUCCACAAUAUAUUACAGCGUAGCGUCCUGUAGAUGCUUUGCGGGGUGUAACACCCUAAUUUUCAACUUUUGCAAAUUAAUAAAAUUUGUUAGAAUUUGCUAGAAUUUAAUGGUGUGAGUUUAAGGAUUUAAGAAUUUUCUAGGUUUUAUUUAAUUUCCUAGGCAUUCAAAUAUUUUUCUGAAAUUUAAUUAAUGAAUCAUAGGAAUUUAUUGUUCCAUUCAUGCUGGUGCAUUGAUUUUGCUUGUUUGAAUUCAAAUUUAUAUUUGAAUUCAUUUGUUUGAUCCUUUUUAAACAAUAGGAAAAUAUUUCUCUUUCUCUCUUUUGGUCCGUUUCUCCUUUCGGCCGGGCUCCGCAGCAGUAGCACCGCGGGAGCCAUCCCAGCAGUGCCUCCUCCACGCCGACUCGUGUCCCACAGCCCAGCACAGAGCCGGCCCGCUCCUUCACCCGUCUCGCUAACACGUGGGGCCUAGCCGUCAUCCCUCGGCCUAUAAAACCAAGCCGCCGCACCCCCCAACCUCACCAAACUGUAGCGCCCUCACCUCGCACCCAGCAUCGCCGCCGCCCGAGCUCAAACCCGCCGCCAUCGAUCUCUGCUCUCACCGCCUUGCCGUCGACAAGAGCACCGCCCGGAGGUUCGCGUCGUGGUAAGGAACCCGCCGGAGGUCCUCUCGUGCGCUCCCGUGCCCUUUACCACAUUCCCAAGCUCGUUGGAGCUGCUGGCCCACCGCCGAGUCGCCUCUCCGAGCUUCACGUCGCCGUCACCGCUCUAGCUGCCGCUCCAAAGACCUAGAUCAGUUCGCUGUGCACCCAGCUUCGUCCCGAGCCAGCCCCAUCGAAAACCGUGAGCCGCCGCUCAAGCUACGCUCGAUUCUGGCGAGGUCCCCUGCGCGCCGCCGUUUAGCCGCUUCCAUCCCGGCCGUCCGCAGCCGUCCGAUCGAGAGCCGACGGCCACGAUCAGAUCCGACCCGGGUCAAUACCGGUCAACCCCGCCGCCGCUCUGUACUUUUUGCUAAAGAAACCCUGAAUUUUACAGUUUUUGCACUUGAGGCCCUGCACAGUUAAAAAGUAAUUAGAUUUAGAUCCUUUUACUUCUGUUUAGGCCCCUCCUCUUUUAUAAAAUCCCACCCACAAUCCUGGAUCUAUUCUUUUACGCUUUAGACCUUCUGUUUAUAUGUUUAAUUAGAUUUUAGCCCUCGAUUUCUUUAAGUUUAGUCCCUGGAAGUUUAGUUUUCCCUCACUUAAACCCCUAAACCUUGUUUAGCUCAUAUCUUUAGUGUUUUAAAAUCCGUUUAAAGCAUUUCUUGCACCUAUGAGUUCGUGCUGAUGCGUAGAUUUGUUGUAUGAUUUUGUUUUGCUCUGUUGCUACUGUUUGAUGUAAUGUUUUCUUUUUUAGUUCUUUGUUUGCUUGUAUGUACUUGUUUCCUGCGUAUUUGCUGCGCAUAGAAGGAUCGCAGUUCGAGGGAUUCGAAUAGCAAGGCUUUGAGCAGUAAGAGCCAGUUCAAAAAGGCAAGCCGUGCCCUUGAUCACAAUUUGAUCCUAUGCAACCUUUACUUUUAUGUUCAAUACACAUAUGUUAUAUGUUAUGCACUUUAAGUAUAUAAACAUGAUUGGUCCUAUUUAAGGUGUACCUAGUUUUAUCCCUACGCCUUGAUCAACCUAGAUUUACUUUAAUGUUGGGUAGUGUCGGUGCGGAAUCUGGCCGACUAGUAAAUAUAUUAGUUUUGUCGUGCGUUAGAUCGGAUGUGUCCUAGCACUCAAUGACACAGGAUGUAUACUGGUUCGUGUACCGGGCCCUACGUCCAGUUCGGGUCGGUCGGUCGACUAUAUUCCUGAGCCCAGGUGCUCGAAAUUUGUAGUGGGGUUACAAACGAGUGAGAAAUGAGAAGGGGAUGUUUGAGACCCGGUCGUGCUAUGGCCCAAGUGGGAGAGAGUGAUAGGGGCUCAAAUGUGCGCUAUAUGUUCGAGAGUGCGUUCGUCUAUGUUUCUCGUAUGUCAGAAGGUUUCUGAUGAUGUAUUGCCUAUCUUAGAUGUGGAGGGCCCAUCCCCUUUUAUAGUGCAAGGGGACGGCCUUACAAGUCAGAGAGAGAGAAAGAGUGUGUGCGGGUGCCGUCUAGUCUUGUCGAUGCCCACGUCGUCGGGUAUCAUACCGCCGUCCUCCGUCGCUAUUCAUCUCGUCAGUCCACUCCAUUGUAGCGGGUAGGUUGCAGCGGCACUGUGCGGGGCGUGCGCAGGGCGUGGUGUGGUACGGUCCUUUGUACGGUGGUUGACCUGGGCGCUUUCCCUUAUUCGCUCCACCUACUCCCCGGGCCCUAACCGAGCGGGCGUCCCCGGUCAGUUGUCCCGGUCGGUCCCGACCGUGUCGGUCAGGGGGAGCGGUGUGCGUUGGUACGACACAUCCCCAGUUGGGGGGACUCGGUCGGAGUCGGACUGUGGUCCCGGCGCCAUCCAAGCCUUCCGAUCGGGGCGCCGACCCGGCCUUCCGGUCGGAGGCGCCGGUCGGUGGCCGGAUCUUGGUCUCAGCCUAGCAUUGCGUAGCUGGGCCGGCCCUAGGCGCGCGUCGCCGUGCCUCUUGUUGGCCGAGCGUUGCGGGAAGGCGGGCCCUUUGGGGACCCCGGGUCUAUGGACCCAUCAGGUAGUUCUUGCUUAGUUGUUCUAACUGGGUAUGGUGGUAUUAAUGACCUAAUGCUUAAACUUAUUUUAUUUACGCUAUGCCUUCCAUUAAUACAAGAUCACCAUGUUUAAUUGGAACAUGGAGCGACCACCCAAGAAAAUAGUACAACCAUAAGAAUUACAUGGCUCUGGUCUUGGCUAAUUAAUUAGAGACUCUAGUUUGGAGCGGUCUUACCGAAAGGGUAAGAGGGGUGGCAGCAGAUGGGUAUAACUUAACCCUCAGACUGAUCUGCUAUAUAGUAGCUUCGCAGUCUUGAGAGAGGUUUAUGCUCUACUACUAAUCCGGAAACUUUAGCAGGCUACUUCUUAUUAGGGAAUCUUUAUAAAGAUCUCAUAGCGUUCCUAUACAAUCACACCUCGAAAGUGUGGUAUUGUGCCUGGCCCGCACAACAUGGUUGGGUCUAAAGUUCUUUUCAGCUUUUACGCGACUUGUAGUGAAAGUGUACAACUUCUGCAGAGUGUAAAACUAUUAUAACAGCCGUACUCACGGUCAAGAGCGGUCUGGUUCCUCGCAUGAUUAAUUUAUUGAAAGUUGAAUUAAAUUGAUGUUAUUUAUUGUUGUUAUAUUUAUUUAUGUAUAUGCUUAAUGUGGGGUGGUGUAAACUUAUACUUAGUACAAUUAAAUGCUGAAAUGCUAUUAAACCAUAGCCUCCUUGAAUAGCCUUACACUACAUAUUUCCCCACACUUAUUGAGUACCAACCAAUUAAAUGUUGAAAUGCUAUUAAACCAUAGCCUCCUUGAAUAGCCUUACACUACAUAUUUCCCCACGCUUACUGAGUACCAACCAUAAGUGUACUCACCCUUGCUAAAACCGCUGCUCAGACCAAGUCAACUUUGAGGAGGUUCUGGAAGACUUUAAGCCACCAGUCAACUGCUUGUGGAGUCGUCGUCAUUGUUGGAGUUCCGCUGCUAAAAUAAAAGCUUGUUUUGCUAUUCAAAUUUAAUACUUUCAGUCAUGUAAUAAAUAUAAUACCCUCUCUUUACGUUUUGGCAUUGUCUAUGAUAUUUACUGAAGUCGUUGCAUGUAUGAAACUUGAUCCUGACGCAUAUAUAAUUUAUUCAUCUAGUUUUGCCUGUGACACGGAUUCACCUAGUCCCCAAAAUGGGAUUUACAGUAUGUAUGUACACCGCAAACAUGAUGCUGGCUUUGCCGUCGCUCUUCAGAGUAGUGCAUUUGGCCAACUCCCAGGACAGGUUCAGUUCUCCCAAAAACAAUCAUAUAAGGAGCGUUCUUCGUGCCAAACUUUUGCACAGUACAAAUUUCUUUAACUUUUCUUCUUGUUGGCUCCUUUUCCCUACUUCAUCAACAAAAGUGCAUCUCGGUGACGACCUAGGAGGGUCAAUGCGGUUGCAGCUAUGUGGUGAGCAGUUAGGCCAGCCAAGUCGAGUUGCUCAGCAAGUGAAGCAUGUUCGAUAUACCUGUCUGGUAGCACAAUGGGUCGCCACUGCGAGUUACAAAGAAAAGUAGACCUUGAGAUUAGCAUACAGAAACAACAAAAAUUACCAAACAGUAACCUUGAAGUUACUACUAAUGAACACAUCAAGAGGGCUGAAGAAUGUAGCUUGGAUGCAGCUGGAGGCUCCAUUGCAAGAACACAUAUAAAGCUUUGGAACCUAAAAAUAUUCCUUGAAUUGAAUAAAAUCUGGAGUUGUAUUGUAUAAGUGAACAUGAAUUUAUUAUCAUUCAAUGAGCAUCUUGUAUUUCAUAGAAAUUGGGGGUUAUAUAGUCCUUACGUAAGGGCCAGCCUAUCCAACUUUCAGGCAUUAAGAUACGUUUAAGACGUGGAUGAUUAUCAUAAGAAAUUCCCACCAUAUCAUAAGAUUCGCAUUCUUGAAAAUCGGCACUUCUCCAAACACAGAAGACGGAUGGGAUUCUAGGAUUAUCUUUUUGGGCAAAGACUUUUAUGUGCUGGGUACAGAAGUUACAAACAGCAAAGUGAACUGGUGAAGGUACCUUUAUUCGGCCAUCAAGUAGACCAUCGAGUGAAAUAAACUGAGAGACAUGCGAUCCAAACCCACCAACUGUUCCUUCUUCCACUGUGAUAAGAAAACUAUGAUGCUGACAUAGCGUUCUGAUCAGAUCAAUGUCAAGUGGUUUGCAAAAUCUCGCAUUUGCAACUGUCGCCUGAAUGCCAAAGUUGGAUAAAAGAGAGCGAGCAAUCAAGCAUCUCUGGACCACCUCACCAUAGCCAAGAAAAGCUAUCUCUUUUCCCUCAACAAGAAUCUCUCCUUUACCAAUCUGAAAAAGGGCACAGAGACCAGGUAGAAAACUGCACUUUUUUUUGAAAACUAAAACUACACUUCUUUUAAAAAAAUGUUAAUGAUAAAAGGAACAGUUACGUACUUUUCAGAAAUAAGCAAAUCCUUUUUUUUUGUCAAAGCAAUGAUUUUUUUUAAUAUUUAAUGUUAAGAAUACAUACUACCUCUGUUCUUAGGACAAGCAAAUUAGUUCAGUUUUGAGGCAGUAAAGUUGUAUACUGUUUGUAACAGUUUUCCUUCCUGGUGAUAAAUUAAAUGUUGAAAUAAGAACAUGAGGUUCUUAGCUAUGUUAGCAAGCAGCUCAGCAAUACAGCAGGUGUGUUUGAAAUAUGAGAGCUGUACUAUUUGCAAGUUAUGUCAACGUGGCAAAAUAAAUUGAAGAGAACCUACCUGAAGUGGAUUUCCAUAUGUUAAAGUGCCACUAGUCCCAACAAUGGCACCCCUAGGAUACCGGAUGCAAAUAGGUCUGUCCUCAACCAUUGCAGCUGUUGCCACCAUGUCAACAAGUUCAUCCUCGUUAGAUGGUGACAUGACAAUCAUGUUUGGCAAGCAGGACAUGAAUGUAAUAUCAAACGGUCCUGAAUUAGUUGGGCCCUCAGACCCCACCAGACCAGCAUUUGUGAUAGCAAAUCGAACUGGUAUCUUUUGCAUGUCCACAUCUUCUACUAUCUGCCAUACAUGUGAGAUCUAUGAAAUGUAGUGUAAUAACAGUAAAGCAGCCUUGCAGAUUUACUGAACUAAGAGGAACUUAUGCCCACACUAACUUAGCAGCAGUAUGUGCUGGCACCUGAUCAUAUGCUCGCUGAAGAAAUGUGGAUGGAAUUAUGCAGAAAGGCUUUAAACCUCCACAGGCCAAACCAGCGGAAAAGGUAACAGCAUGUUGCUCAGCGAUGCCCAAGUCAAAAAAUCUGUCUGGGAAGCUGGACUGGAAUAAGCGGAGUGAUCGAUCCAUUCCCAUGCCACCAUGAACUACCACAAUGCACUUGUCAUUCUCUGCUUCUGCGGUUAAUGCUUCUACAAAGCAGUCAUUGUAUGUCCUAGAAAGUCCAGUUUCUAAAAAUUUAAGAAGAUCAUGGCUUGAGUUUGAAGGCCCUGUCAUCAGUUUUUUUAAAAAAAGUUAACCCAUAAAAGAUUCAUCCAAUUCAUAUCGCUUAUAUAUGCAAGAACAUACAGUUUGCAAUGAAUCUCAAAGAACAAUAAUAUCACAGUCGCAGAAGGAUAAGUACAUUAGCACCAGUAGACUCCUAGUGUACUUAUUGGAAUACGGAAACUUAAACGAGCAUGUAAAAUUUGCGACUGACAUUGAGUCCAAGUUAAAUGCUAAUUAUGACUUAUAUACAUAUGUUUUUUAAGAAAUCUCUGAAAAUUCUUUAGCAUGAGUACUGCCAUUUCCUUGUCUUGCCAUGUUUCUUCCUCCCAUACAGGAGGAACCCCAGUGCAGUGGUAACAGGGCAAGAGAGCUAAAAAUGAAAAACACUAAGCAUGCUUCCUAGCUCAGCAAAAGAAAAGUAAAACAGAAUGCAUAUUUUGAUAGUGACCUGUAUCACAGACCUUCCUCAUUUGGAGUUAUUUCACUGCUAAUAUUUCCACCAGUGUCGUUUUCAGUCCCAGUAAUUACAUGUACAAGUACUGGACCAGUUGAAUCUAGAGUUGCAACUUCCUUUAAUACACAGAUGAGAUCAUCAAUGUUAUGCCCAUCAAUAGGACCGAUAUAAUAUAAUCCAAGUUCUUCAAAAAGAGUUGCUCCAUGAGGACCUAUCAUACCACGAGCAUACUCGUCAACUUUGGCAGCAAAUUCAUGCAUCCCUUUGCCAAACCAUUUGGCAAGUCCCUAGGAAGAAAAAUUCAAAUAUCAAACUAGGGACAUUAAUAUAGCAUAAGACUAGACCAUAAAUCUCAAAGUAACAAGGGUGAAGUUGUUUUUCUAAGAAAGAAAUCAGAGUUAUAAAUUACAGGCAUUCAAAAAGUCGAACGCUGUGUUCACAACACAUUCUAAAGGGAUAUAAGCAUUUACCUUUGCAGCCUCCCUAAACCUCCUAAAUCCUUUGCUGGAUUGAAUCUUGCUGAGAGCACUAGAAAAGGCAUUGACUGACAUCUUUGGCCGGUCAUCAGCUUUAGGAAGCAAGGAGUGACAACUAUCAUUUAGAAUAACUACCAUGUUGGAAUCGAGGAAACCAGCAUGACCCAUUGCCUCGUACACCUGGCCAGCCAUGGUUGUCCAAUUACUUAUAACUGUCACUAUUCGAUUUUUUCUCCCAUUUAUAUCCCUUGCAACCGCCAUCCCUGAUAAGAAGUAACUCUCAAACUAUAGAAAGGAAAGGAUACUUUAAAAGACUACGAAGAAGCAAGAUUUAGGAAAUUCUGAACAGGGCUUGGAUUUUAUUAAGCUGUGAAACUUUUGUGAUAAUUAUUAAUUAAUCUGUCUGUAAACAUUUUAUACUGUGAGGAUUCCAUGCAAUUUCACAGAAAAAAAUAGAAUAGGAACUGAUAGCACUGAACAUAACAAUUUGUAUCAGGUUCUGUAAAUAAAAGAAAAAUCUUAGUGUUGCAUGCAUAAUUGGAUUCGAAGCUAAAUUCAACUUUCUUGAAUUUCUCAUGUAGACAAACCAUCAAUUAAAUGCGUAUAAGUGAAAACAAAUACUAAGAAAAUAACUCCUGCGGAUCUUGUCAAUUCCACAUGCAUAGAAUAGGUCUCUUCAGUAACAUACAUACAAUUUGACAUGCAAGAAAGUAAUGAACGAAGAGGCAGUACCAAGGCCAGCGGAAAGACUAUUGCAUCCAUGUCCAGCACCAAAGGGAUCAUACUCGCUCUCAAAACGAGAUGUGAAACCAGAAAGGCCAUUUUUUUGUUUAAUGGUAUGAAAGAGAGAGCGCCUUCCUGUGAGAAUCUUGUGUGCAUACGCCUGUUGUAAGAAAAUUGUUGAGCGAAAAAAUAUAGAAGAUGAGAAAGUUGAGCAGAAAUGAUAUCUGACAGUUCAAAACAGUAACAGAGAGAUGUCUUACAUGCUGACCAGCAUCCCAUAGUAUCUUAUCCAUUGGGGCAUUAAACACAUAAUGUAUAGCAAUUGUCAGCUCCACAACCGAGCGACCAGGACCACACGGCUGGCAUUUUCUGGACAUUAUGAAAGAUAUUUCGGAACGAACUUCAUCAGCUAACUGCUUGAGCUCCUGUUUUUUUAGGUAUGCAAGUGUCAAAAAAUUCUCAAAUCAUAUAUACUUAUAUACUAACUAAGAAAGGAAGGGCGAAGGAGUAUGACUCUGACGACCUUACUAGAUAGAUUUUUCAAAUGAAUGGGCGCAUCAAUUGUGUCCAGGAUUGGAGUAGGAUCCUUCUCCCAGAAAAAAUCAUCGACAUCAGGUAGCGCGGCCACUCGCUGAGUCACGCCCUGCACAAGAGUUGCCCUAUCAGAUCACAAAACUUGGAAUUUACUCCAGGUCAAUAACAAUAUACUCAAGUUUGGAGCUAAGCAUCAACUCUGAAACUGAAAAGUUCAUUUUGUGAUUUACACAUUGCAACGCUAGAAAGAGCAUACCCUUAAAGGUGAAGCAGACAGUGUUUGGCAGGGCCUUGAGUCUGUCGGGUUGCAUCUCAAAUAUCGCAGAGGAUGGAAACGGUAGCUUGUGGAGUGAAGAACAGCAAACUCGUCAUAAACUAGAUUACGAGCAAGCGGAGAACGCAGAAACGCCGUGUCCAUGCUGGAGCCGGGCGUAGCUGGUGCCCCAAAUCCUGCAAUUUGACGAUCAAUUUAAGAAGAAAGUAAAAAAAACCUGAAUUGGAGGAAGACAGCUAGCUGAAUCUGACGAGCAAGCAGCUUCUUCCCCACAGCCAAAACCACCAGCUGCCAAUUAGCUUAAACACAAAACGGAAAUGACCGCGUCUACCUCAAAUCCAGCCUCCCCAGCUACUCAAACCGGCAGAAGACGCCGCCGCCGCCUCUCCUCGCGUGGGACCGGCGGCGACGCGGUCGGAUGCGGCGGCUCCUGGCGCCUUGCGUGGGGGGCAGCAAGGCCAGCAGCCCUAGCUCCGAUUUGGGUGGAUGCGGAGUGUCGCGCUGUACUGGCGACAUGACAGAGAGGCUAAUCCCAACGGAAAUUUCUAAUCUUUUUGGAGUACAAGUUAAUUAGUCUUGUCUCGUAAUGAUUCCCUCCACGUCGGCUUCGUUAGUGCGGUGAGCAGUGGCCAAAUUGCGGCGCCUUUUGCCUGCGCGGGGGCUAAUCUGCGAAAACUGCGGCGUGGAAAUCCAAAUAGGGGCUAAUAUGAAAAUAAAUUGGAUCGCGAUUAACAAUAGGGUUCUUUUAAAGAUAUCCGUACCAAUUAGGGGCCCUUUUGAAAUAACUUUUGGCCUGAUAUGCAAGGUGAAGGCUUCGACCCCCCGCGCGGUGGAUUGGAUAACGCGGGACAGAAAGAUGGCGGCUUCCGCUCUCCAUCUCCGCCUCCUCCCCUCGCCGCCGGCCGGUGUGAAGCUCCAGCAGCGGCGUCUCCGCUCGGUAAGCCCCGCGGAACACCAACUAGCGCCCCCUUCUUCAGUUCUUCUCCCUCCUGCAUCUCGCCGUAUUCCUGUUUCUCCGUCUCGUGUGUGCGUGUGUGCUUUCGUGGUGCUCGAGCAUAUGCCCAACAGUGUGUGAGCAUUUCAAUUAGUUAUUUCUUUCUGAUAGUAUUCCUUUGUUUGCAAAGUGAGCAUUGUACUGCCCUUGACUCAUUGCUGCAUUUAAUGGGAACUGAAUGUGACACGUUCAAUUGCUGGUUUAGUUUAAGGCUCUAAGUUGCAGCAUGGACAUGCUAGAUUCUGAGGUUGUGUUUGUGCGUGGUGUUUGUUGCAGAGAAUACUGAGGCAGGGUGGUCUGUCUCGUAGAUAUUCAAAAGUAGUGUGCUAUUACGGGCUCACAACUCCACCAUAUAAACUGGUAUGUACGGUCAGCUCGUUGAUAUCGGUCUCAACAGAUUUUGGUUCUGUCAUUAUGUGAGUGACAAACUUUUAUUGUUUUUGUGAUGUGGUGAUCAGGAUGCUUUGGAACCUUAUAUGAGCAGGAGGACAGUUGAACUUCACUGGGGUAAGCACCAUCAUGAUUAUGUGGAGGGAUUAAAUAAGCAGCUUGCUACCAGCCCACUGUAUGGAUACACUCUGGAGGAGCUGAUAAAAGAAGCGUACAACAAUGGCAAUCCAUUACCAGAGUAUAACAAUGCAGCACAGGUAAUUUUUCGGUGAUUUAUUCAAUUUUGUUUACAUAUAUCAUUUGCUUCAUUUCACUUAUUUUCUUUCAGGGGUGGGUGGAUUACAGAUUGUGCUUGUGCUUUCACCGAUUUAUGGAUAGACUCUAGAAUUCAACCUUCUGUCUUCUGACAAGCAGGUCUGGAACCAUCACUUCUUCUGGGAAUCAAUGCAACCAGAAGGCGGUGGCUUACCUGAGGGAGGUGUGUUGCAGCAGAUUGAAAAGGAUUUUGGCUCGUUUACCAAUUUCAGGGAAGAAUUUAUUCGCUCAGCCUUACAACUUUUGGGGUCUGGUUGGGUUUGGCUUGUCUGUAAGUUUCCUUCCCAUUUUCUUUGAUGUACAAGCACUAUUGAAACUUGCUGAUUUUCUGUUGUGCUCUUUCAAAAGCUAAUUUCUAAGUUUAGGCUACAUUUUGCUGAUGUUUCUUGCAGUGAAGAGAAAUGAGAGAAAGCUUUCAGUAGUUCAUACACGAAAUGCUAUCUCCCCACUUGCUUUUGGCGAUAUUGUAUGUUUACUGGACUCCGUUUUUUUCCCCUUGAUGCGUUAUAAGUUGAAAUGUUUAGAGUAAAUUUUUCAGUAAAAACUUUGCAAUGACAACACAUUCUCUUCUUGUAGCCAAUUAUCAGCCUAGAUUUAUGGGAGGUAAGGAUAUUGACUCUUGAGUUUUAAGAUCCUACUUUGUGCUAAAUAUUGACAUUUCUCCUUUUCUGUUCAGCAUGCUUACUACUUAGACUACAAGGUAUGCUCUAGCUCUCUUCCUUUUUUGUGCUUAACACUUUUGAAAUUUCACAAAUUAGUUCUUAGAAGAAAACAUUUGCGAUGCUUACUUUUCAACUUUGCAGGAUGAUAUGCUAACAUAUGUUACAAACUUUAUGGACCAUCUCAUCUCUUGGGACACUGUCACUCUGCGCAUGAUGCGUGCUGAGUCGUUUGUGAACCUUAAUGAGCCAAAUAUUCCAGUGGCAUGAGAUACAGAUCACCCUGGUUAUCAGGUAAGAAUUCAGGAAUUUGAAGCAGCCUGGCAUACGUGCAACUUAAUCAUGUAAUUAGACGCAGAAAAUGGGGGCGCUAUUAGUUUAUCUGUUCUUAUUUUUCCAGCUAUAAGUAACCUUCAGUAGUUGCAGUAACUGAAACGCUCAAUUCAGAACAUCCAAAGAUUAUGUAAUGCUCUUUCUCAUGGCACAGCAAGGAUUUUUUUUUCGAUAAGGAAGCUUUAUUAAAUUUCAAGGGCAUUACAUCGAUGAGGAAAUAGAAUAUCAGUAUUGAGAUUCAUGCUCAUGGAAUAUCAGGUCACGUGGUGGUUUUAUGCAAACAUUUGUCUUUUCUCUAUCUUUAGUUAAGAUUGGGUUGUGACUGGUACCGGGGCUUAACCUGCAACUGAACUGAGAACUUGUGUGAUCUGGGGCUGUCUUUCUAACACGAGAAACACCAGAUUGAUAUUUAUUGACAAGGAAUACUGCUGUAAAGCACCCCACUUCCUUACAAACUAGAAUAAAACAAUAAAGCAUCCUACCUUAAGCUAGUUGAUGCGAUGUUCUUGCAUCCACUAUAUGUGAGCAUAAAAUUAUUCAGGCCUAGAGGCUACGUAGGAUAGCAGAUGGCCCAGUUAUUUUCCCUUUUGUCAGCUCAUAUAAACACAACUAUUUAAUAUCUCCUAUCAUAUUCUUUGGUGCGCAACUGUUUAAAGUUUGAUCUCUUGUUUUCAUCUACUGAACAGGUAUCCUGUGAGCUAGACGUCGGGUCAAAUCCUGCUGGAAUAAGCAGAGAGUUGCAAAAGACUGCAUAAGAGAUGCUUAUCUCUCUAUUGCCAUCUACAUGGUGAACUUAAAGAUAAGCUGCUGAGUUUGCACCAUUUCCAUUGGCUAUUGCUACAAGUUGGCAUCUAGUUUCAAGAUAUGCAACAAAGCAGCUUUAGACACCUGGGAGCACGUAGAUUAUGAUGUCCAACUUGGGCUUUGAAGCCAUGGCACUUUCUCUAGGCAGCCAUGCUUCAUUACGAGCGCCCAUAGUGUUGUUAGAAUAGAUUAAGAUCUCAAGUUUUCAUGACUUAAUCAUGCCAGCGUCUUGUUGUAGUGGAAUGGAACCGUAUUCUUGUUUUACUGGUUGAGGAAUCCUAAUAAUUUUGGAUUGUAGAUUGUAGGGAAAUCAUGUGCGUGUCGAACACUGCAAGUGUGAGUUUUAGCCAGAAAGAAAUUAGAGUUUGCGGAUUGGAAUGCAAUGCUCUAGCAAUCCAAAGCUUGCAGACACCACGGUUGAUCUGCCAGAGUUAUAUGCAUUUUUAGUUUUGCAGAAACAAACUCACAGAUUAUUUUCAGUAGGACUCUCUCCUUACCGCUGCUGCACAAGACUGUAAACACUGGAAAACUGCAGAAUUUCUAGCAGCACAGUAGUAAGCCAAUCCAGUAUAAAUUCAUUUGGAAAUUCCUAACAAAUGGGAGGCCAGUUAGAAAAGCAUUAGGACCUUUGGAUCUUGAGCUGACAUUCUCGACGAAUUCAGCACGAAUAAAAUGUAAUUGAGAUCAUCUACCUAACAAAGCAUCCAUACUCAUUCCCAGUUGCUCUUGAGCAGACAUUCUCGACGAAUUCGGUACGAAUAAACCGUAAUUGUGAUCAUCUAGCUGGCAAAGCAUCCACAAUCAUUCCCAGCUGCUCUGUUUCCGUCAUGUUAACGUCCAUAUUGCUCCCGUCAUGUUAACGUCCAUAUUGCUCGUUCGUCCGACACCGAACCCGUUGAUGGAUUCUAUGUUCUCACAUCCAUUAUAAAAGGUGAGGUCCAUUGUUCAAGCUUAGUGGCCUUUCCCCAGAUUCUCAAAUGAUGCCCUUGUAAGCUGCAACCAUAGACGAUUCUGCAGCAAAGGUGCUUUUGGACCCUUGUGAGAGCAGUUAGGAGUAUGGGCUCGCAGACAUGACAGACAGUUGCACUCAAGUCCUGACAAAGCUACCAUACCAUGGUCUCAAAUCGUUGUUGAUCUACCUUGUCUUGUGUAGGUACAAUGCCAACCAGAAUUUUCUCUUAGAUCAUACAGUUAGUUGCACCAACUGCAAAAGGACUACAAAACACACCCAAAAAGAAAAUCAUGUAUUUUAUAUUUCUGGCAAACUAUGUGCAUAGUCCAAGGCUCCAAGCAGAUGAGCAAGGCAGGUCAACCUGCUCAACCUGUCCCUUGACCUGCCACAACAGUUACACCAGACUGUGCUGGUGGUGGCAAUUCAUCAGUCACAACGUGUUCUCUGAACCUGUACUCUCUUCUUUCGAAAGGAAUCAUCGGAGUACGCAUAGCUGGGCUGUACAGAUAAAAUUUACUCGAACAAAUACGGUGGCUUUAGAAUCGGAACCAGAUGCUAACAAUACGAUGCGGCGGUUCAAACCAUGGUUACAGUACCAGUAGAAUCUUUGUUCAGGACACACGAAUGCUCGCUCAUACUGACAGAAUAACUACGACAUGGUUUAUUAUGUUCUUCACAACCAGAGUAAAGCAAUCAAGCAGGCUACUGAAUCUUCUUCAUCUCCAUCCGGCCUUGUGGAGCUGCAGGCAGGCGGCGGCCUAGUUGCAGCAGCAGCAGAGGCAGUCGAGGCAGCACUCGCAGGUCUCGUAGCAGCAGAAGCAGCACAGCGCCGUGAAGAUGCUGCGAGACAGUUAGAACAGAGACAAAUGAGAGGAAGCAGAGUUUAGUUCAGCAGAGAGAAAACUUCAGGAGAAGGGUGAGAGAAAAAUCAGGAAAAUGCCUUCUGGCAGAGAACGAUGUGAGUGAGCAUCGAUUUCACGUGCAAAUAAAUAAAGUCAACGAGAACUUGAAUAAUAGUAGAUGUAAGGGCAUGUCAGGUGGUGGUUAAUUUGAUCUUUCUUGUUCUACUUAUAUGUUGACUUUGGGAGAUGUGUGAUUAGCUCGGUUGUCUUCAGAUUCUACUCCCUCCGUACCAAAUUACUAUUUUUUUUGGAUUUUUUGAUACAAAACUUUUGAGACAUGGAUCUAGAUGUAUGUAUAUCUUGAUACGUAGCAAAAGCUAUGUAUCUAAAAAAAUCAAAGCGAAUAGUAAUUUGGGAUGGAAGGAGUAUAAGUGUAAGUUCUUCAAAAAACUGAAGUAAAAGCAGAGAGCAUAUUGUCAAAACCAAGGCUAUCAUACUGCAAAGGGAUCAGAGACAUGUAGUGAGUAGUUUUAAUUCCUUAGCUCGGGGGAAAAACACGGACGAAUGAAUUCAUGAUAAUUUGCAGGAAGAUUGCUCCAUGAAGCUGCAAGUAUUUGCAGCGUCAUAUUUCUAGGAAACUGAACCUCCAAAAAAAGCAGUGGAAAAUGAAGUUUUGACGGAUAAAGAGGGAAAGAACUGCCAGCUGAAGCUUCAGGCCGUGCAAACUGAAACUGAACUGAAUAUCUGGAACUGAAUCGGAUUUUACCAUGCGUAGAGGCAGCCCUUCUCCUCGUGGCGCCUCUGCACAUGGUCGUAGUAGGACAUCUCCUGCGCGGAUGGGGCGUCGUACAUCUUGCCUGGCCGGCUGGUGAUGAACUACUGAAGAAGGGCAAGGGUCGUCUCGUCUCCCCUGAUCUUGUUCUCAUGGAAAGGAGUGGUGGAUAGCAUUUAUAGACCAGGAAGAAGAAGGGAUGUCAUGUGCUCUGUGCUGUUAUCCUUUUCUGCUCACACAUGUGUCACGAGUGCACGGACGAAAGAGACGGUGUCUGACAGUAGGACUACAUGUGCCCACUCUGCCAGCGAUUGUUUGCUGCUGAAUCCAUGUCACUUUUUUUUUCCACCACAAAGCCCCGUUUGCAAAGCAUGAAUUUCACACAAAAAUUGCUAGAUUUUUGCAGGAAUACGGAGAAAUCUUGGCGUGUGUGUGUUCACUGCUCGUGUUCUAGAUAAACUUCUAGUCUUUGUUUCCGGCCCACUGUUAUUUCACUCAGGAUAUUUUGGUAGACUUUUCUUGGAACAAGAGGUAGUCUGUGAGUAGACAGAUCAGUUCUCUAGCUUCCGGUAGGCUGGAAAAAAGUGCAGAAAAGGUGGAAAACCGCCCAACGGCCAACUAGUUCGUCAUUCAUGUCACAGGAACAAGAUCCUUCUUCCAACUUGCCUCUAGAGUAGAAAAAUGGGGAUCAUGUCUACCUAUUUGUUUCAGCUUCUCAGAUCAGCUUUCCGGCUUCUGGCAGCUAGAAACUGGAAAGCUGAAACAAACAAUCCAGGGUUGGCGUUCGGAACGCUGGAAAGCUAAAGGCCUGUUUGGAAGGGGGUGCUGAACUUUAGCAUCCCACUUUUAGCAUCUGGUUCCCAAAUAGGGGUGCUAAAGGGAGGGUGCUAAAAUUUAGCCCCCCAUUUCCUUUAGCACCUCCAAGGGUUGCUAAAAGGUGCUAAUAGGUGCUAAAAGUAGUCCCAAGGACCACCUUUCCCCCAUUGCCCUCCCGCAACCCCCCCCCUCUCCUCCGCCGGCCAAGCCGCCUCCACCCAGCACCUCCACCGACCACGCCGCCUCCGCCCAACCCCGCAUCCUCCUGCACUGCCACCUCUUGCUCUCCGCGGCCCCUGAAAACUCAGGUCUCGUUGCCGCUCGCCGACACCGCGCCGCUGCAUGCCUGCCGCUCGGCUGACCCAUCGCCAUUGCCGUCGCCAUCCCCUUAGAUCGUGCGCAUCAACCAGGAACCAACCCCGCAGCCGGACGGCACCGAACCAGCAACAGUCGCCGCCCGCAACUACCACAGCAGCAGCACCAGUCGCCGCCGCAUUGGAUCCGUGCACGGGUGCCGCCACAGCGAUUUGGCGUGCGUGCAUGUGGCGGACGGGUGGUGGGAGCGGGGAGGAUGAGGCCACCCCUGCGGUGGUUAGGAUUUGGGGCCUCUCUCGCCUCGAAUUUUCGCUUGCCCCGCCUGCGGACGGAGACGGAGGUAGUGGUAGCCUGGUGGGUGCGGGUGUGGUGCGUGGUUGUCGCUUCGCUCGGCUCUAGAGUACGCGAGGGGGAGAGCACAUUCACACGCUCCGGUGCUCCGGCCGCUCUGCUUCUGCUUCGCCCCGCUGCGCAUGCCAGCCGCGCGGCCACCUCUCCACGCUGCCGCACGAGCCAGCCACGCCGCCCCCGAUCUACUCCAUCGGAAUGGCUGGCCGCACUGUGCCUACUCCGCCCCGUCGCGCAAGCUAGCUGCACGGCCCCCUCUCCACACCGCCGCUCGGGCCAGCCACGCCACGCCCUCUCCACCCUACCGCGCAGGCUGGCCGCAUUGUGCCCUGUCCGCACCACCGUGCGAAUCGGGAGGGGAAGCAGGCAGGGUGAGGGAAGGAGCGCCACCCAGAUCUGCUGGGGAGCUCCAACGCCGUGGGAUCCAACGUGCGGGAGCAAGCAGGGGUGAGGGAGCGCCACCGUGCUUGGGAGAGAGAGAAAGGGUCGGGGGAAGAGAGGAGCGCCGAGGACAGAGGAGAUGUGAGGGAGAGAAGGGGCUAUUGCGGGAGAGGGGUAGCGCGGGGAGAGGGCAAUGCGCCAGCCAGGGAGGAGGGAAAGGAGGGGUAAUGUUGUCUUUUGCCACCAAAGGUGCUAGAGUUUAGUACCAUAUCCAAACACUCCAAGGUGCUAAACUUUAGCCCUCCAUUUGAGGGUGUUAAAGUUUAGCCCUGGUUCCCAAACGCAGCCUAACUUCUGAGGAAAUAAACUGAAAACUGGAAAGCUAGCUGAGAGGAACUUUUUCUAACUUUUGGUGUGCUGAGAAGAUAAAAAUUUAUUACAAAAGCCAAUAGCAAAAGGCCAGCAACCAAAAAAUCAGCUUCCGAAAAGAUAGCUUUCCAACCAAAAAUCCAAAAGCAGAACCUCAAACGGCUAAGAGGUCAUCGCAGCACAUUGCUAGUACUCUGUCUAUGGUACUUGGAAGCAUCAAUCAUGCUUUGCAGAAAGAUAUCUACUAUCCAGUGGCUCUGAACAUAGCCAAUCCGAAUCACGAGUCAUGAAAAAGGGACUGAAUCCUGCUUUCAAAAAAAAAAAGGGACUGAAUCCUAACCCAAAACAAUAACAAAGAGCCGCAUAUAUGCAGAUGCAUGCUUUCCUAAAUUCGAAAUUUUGAUGAACUAGUUUUGUUAAACUACUAGUGCUCGGAACCCAUGCAGUUCCCAAGCUCCAAACCCGGUAGGCGGUAACCAAACGGAAUUACAGAAGGGAUCAGGCACUGUUACUCCAUGACAACACGACUGAACAAACGGAGAAGAAAGACGGAGAUGGUCUCACUCACCAGGCGUAGAGGCAGCCCUUCUCCUCGUGGCGCCUCUGGCAGUGGUCGUAGUAGGACAUGUCCUGUGGCGGCGGCGCGUUGUACAUCCUCGCUCCCUUCUUCUUCUCCUUUUCUCCUCUUCUCUGCGGCCGCAGUUCUACUGCUUGUACCUCAGUUCUCUUCUACCUUGUGCAGCGCAAUGGAUGAAGAUGGGCUCGUACUUAUAGACCAAACGCAGGAGAAGACACCAAUUGUCAAUGCCAAGGUAGUCACCUUGGAAGCACCCUUGCAUCGAUCACAAGUAGACCAAAUAAAAUAACAAAUAGUGGUUUUAUUUUAUUUCUAUAUCUGCAUAUGCAUCCAUGACUUAGUUUCCUUCACAUCGAAGAUUUGUUCGCAAUUGUCAUUUAUUCAAUAAUUAAUGAGAGGAAUCCUUUUAAAAUAUAGAUUGUAUAUGCUCCUUUUGUUGCAAAUUAUAGGUCGUUUUGGCUUUUCUCAUGUCACAUUUUCACCAAACCUGACCCUGUAUUCUCAUCUCGAUCAUGAUGUCAUUUGCUCUGUCCCAAUGUUAAAAGCGACCAUAUGGUGGAGCCCUCUGCGUUGGGAAGGUUAGUAAGUGGGUUCAGUAUCACUUUAUCCUCAGUGAGAUUUCUUUGUGAUGAAGUCUUGAAGACAUGCCUGAUGAUCAAGGCUGCAUCAUUUGUCGCAUGUAGUCCAGAGGUUUGUUUCAGUUCACAUGUUGUUUUCACCUAACCUUGUAUGCCUCAUCAAGUCAUGAUGUCACUUGCUAGAGCUGUCCUUAUCAAGAUCAUGAAGAUAUGGCUGCCCAAGGUGGGAGCCGAGCUUGCCAUGUGUGUGUCCUGCAACUUGCACAUGUGUACUAUGUGCUAGUUUGGCAUUUGGCUUGCUCGGAAUUGAUGGCAAAAGUCCAGGAUAGACGUCCGUGAAUCCUUCCUCUCGUGUAUUUUUUGGAACGUGUUAGCUUUUCUUCUAAUAUUUUAUUUGUUUGCUGCUCGCAGAGACUUGACUGAUGAGAUGAUAUCUCCAAGAGAUAUAUACAAAUUAUAUAUGGUAUCUCCAAGCUACACUAAUUUGCAAAUUAUAUAAUUUGUAUGUGUUGGGCUGGCACUGGCAGUUGGCUUGCUCGAAAUUGAUGGCAAAAGGGCAGGAUAAAUGUCUAUGAAUCCUUCCUGUUAUUUUUGGAGCUUUUCUUCUGAUACUUAUUUGCUGCUCGCAGACUUCACUGAUGGAGAUGAUAUCUCCGAGAGAGAGAUGAGCGUUGCCAAAAAAAAAACAAAAAAAAAACGCUGUCGAACUCGGUGAAAGCUACACGAAUUUGCAAAAUAUGCAAUCCGAGAGAAUCUCUCCUGAUACGCUUAACAUAUUCCUUAGCGCCUAAGAGAUGAGAGAAGACCAAGCCUCUAGACUAGUAGUACAUCUACAGAGCUAGAAUUAUUGGCAGCCGAACGGUAGCUUGUGGUCACGUCCUACUCAUCGCGAGAAUUUCUCCGUCCCGUUGCUGACCGCGACCAGCGGAUCGGACGUUGUUAUACGUCGUAAUGAGCUAGCAUUGUCUGCAUCGACAUGGAGACUGUGCUCAGGGGGGCCAUUUUUUUUUUUACCAGCGUGGAAUGCAGCGCGUAUCAAGCAGUCAAAGUAACUCGGCGCCGAAAUUUUUUUCCCCAAAAAAACAAAAACUCCGCGCCGAAUUAACAUGAGGUAACUGAGAACUGACGCGUGCUAGUACGUAUCAUAGCAUACCACCACGUAUGUAAUAUUCAAAAACUUAAAAUAUUAAAUUGAGUGAAAUUUUAAAAAUUUAAAACUUUUUGUUUGAAUUGUGUGCUCAUUUAAAAAUGGAAGUCAAAUUCUACUCUCAUCUAGAAAUUCCAUAAUAAAAUUAAAUCUCAAUUUAAUUCCAAACACGCGUGCUAGUUUGAUUUGGCUCUUUUUGAAUUUUGUUGAAUUUCAAAUAUGAAUAUGUUUGAAUUUUGAAUCCAAUUCUAACCUAACAUAAAAACCAACCCUAAACUAACCUAUCUAGCCUAAACUAACCCACCAGGCCGGCCCGCAACCAACCGGCCUAGCCUGCUAACCUAUCUCUCCCUGUCCCGCGUGCAGCCCAACAGGCCGGCCUGCAUAACCGGCCCAUCGGCCAACCAGCCACCGCACCCCUCGCCCUCUAUUUCUGCCGCCUCCCCCCUCUCUCCCGCCUACUCUGCUCCACGUUGCGCGCCUCGCUAGCAGACGCUCCACGCGCCCGUGACCUUCCGGAGCCUUCCACGAGGGGGAAAUCCCCACCGUGCCCCUGUAGCUCCCGCCGGCCGCGCCCAAACGGGUACUGAUGCUGAGUAUGGCGAAUGCCACCACAGAAAUCAUGUUGGUGCAAACAUUGUUGAGAGAACUUGGAGUUCAAAGUCCCAAGGCAGCAAAACUAUGGUGUGACAAUAUAGAAGCUAUAUUUCACGCCAGGACCAAACAUAUUGAGGUGGAUUUCCACUUUGUUCGAGAAAGAGUAUCACAAGGAGUUUUGCAAAUUCGACUUGUAUCAACAAGAGACCAGGUUGUAGAUGAUUUUACAAAACCAAUAACAGCUCGGCAAUUAGAAGAAUUCAGGCACAAUCUCAACUUAGACAAGUUGUGAUUGCUAAAAUAUCUAGAGUAGAGUUUGAGCUGUUGAAGAUGUAUAUUUUGUUUGUUUUGAUCUCUAACCUGCUACACGCAUUGUAACAAACUCAGUAUCCGUAACCUGGUCUGUUGAUAGUUCCAUAUAAGUACAUAACCCGGUCCUGAAAAGGGUGACAACGCUUAUACAAUUUCCACGCUACUGAUAGCGACGAUUUGUACGCGAGCUAGGAGGAUUAGCGGCCAACGAUGCUACAAUUGGCAGUAGCAGUUUAGCAGACUGUCUGCUACUGGCGAUUACGUGGGAGGUGCCCAGAGUUUUGCAUCCGGCUAGACGAAACCAUUGGAAAGCGAAAGAUGCUACUGUCUGUGUCUGGCGGUCAAAUGAGAGGUGGCCACUUGGAGGAUUACAGAGGCGUACGUACUCCUAGUAGCUUUCGUAUUGGUGGAUUGGGUUGAUCGGGCGGGGUUGCUGCAGCUGCUGCAUCGGGAUGCGCGCCGGCAGAUGGGUUAGCACGGCGGCAGCGACGCCGGUGUGACAUGAAUGGCAACGGCAAAAAUUUUGUCAUUGCUGCGAGGUCGGUGUGGGCCGUAAUGAGCCUUAUGCGGCUGGGCGCAUGCAAGAGAUCUGUGUGGUUACUUGUAUACGCUUAGCUUGGAUGCAUACGCUUAGUUUGGAUGAGAUUAGAUGAUGUUUUGUUUUCAGUACGAGUACACGUAAAGAAUAUAGAACUACUAAAAUAACAAUAAAAAAUGACUAUUGUAUGAUAUUAUAUUAUAAUAAUAUUUACUUCAUCUUACCAAGUCUUAAUCUGCUUUGAAAUAAAUUAAAACCACUUAAUAUGCAUUAAUUAUAUGCUAAUAGCAUCAUUAAAUGGACUAAUGUCCGCAUUCCGCGAGCCUGGCUCACCAGGAACGGCCGAUUCUCUCGUUUCUUGGAGCCAGGUCCAGCGGUGCUUUUUGCAUCCGGCCAGCCAGGCCUGACGCACCGUCGCAGCAGAAUGCGCGACUAACCAAACUCGGCCGCAGGCCGGGGUGGGCUGCGCGAAUUCUACUACCGCACGCUAGCUAGGCAGAAGGCAGGUGGGCCGUAGAAGCUGGAAUUUCCGUGGCAAAUCCGCUUGGCUCUGGGCUGGGCUGGGCUCUCAGUUUCAGCGACGCGACUCCUGCAUUUGGCAUCUAAAAAAAAAGCAGCCUGCUUGACGACGACACCUGUUGUGUCAGACGACAAAUACACAGAUACUCAGACAAGAUCCGUCCUUGGAACUCCCGACAGCCAAUCCAGCGACCACGAUGCUGCUGCCCUCCUCGGCCAGUCGGCCAUACCACUUGCCAUCCGUCCAAAGGGCUCCAACUCCGUGAUAUUUGAUAUUCCUCCAUGCAUCGGCCCUUCCUUGAUGCGGUGACGCCUGCGUUCAGCCUGCCAAGAACUCAACAUGUCCUCCAGCACCUGCCACUACCGAAAAACUAAACAUUCGCCCCAAGCUCACUACCGGUUGUGUAUUGAUCCGGUACUAAUAUGAGCAUUAGUAUCGAGCCUAACGGUUAGUCCUCGAGGAGCUCCCCAUGACCCCCUUCAGUACCGGACGGAGGUUUCACCCGGUACUAAAGGUCACAAAUUAGUACCGGUUGAAGCCUCCAAUUGAUACUAAUAUGCCUGAGGGCCUUUAGUACCGGGUGGAGCUUCCACUCAGUAUUAAUUGGUGGGUGGGGAUUCGAAAUUUGAACUUCCCUGUAUUGAAGUUCGCACUCGUCUGCUCCUCUCUCCGUCUUAUCCGCUCCUAACUCUCCCGAAUGGCCUCCCUCUCUCUCCCUUCUCUUCCCCCAGCCGGGUCCUUUCUCUUCCCUCGGUCCUCUCCUCACCGGAUCCCAUUCCAAGCACCCCUCCCCUCUCCUCACGGCUGCCCCCUCCCCUCGCCCCUCACUGCAAUGCCGGUGAUGAGCGGCGGCAGGGCGAGGUGAGGCGCAGCACGGCGGUGGGAGGAGAGCACAGGCGGAGUGGCGGGCGACAGCGCGUGGAGCAGCAGCGGGCGAUGGUGUGUGAAGCAGCAAGAUCUGCUACAUGACACGGAUCUGUAGGGUAGCGCGGUGGGAGAGCGUGGAGGCACGGUGAGGGCGGCGGGAUCUGAGGGGUGGCAGCGCGGCAGGACAAGUGGAGUGUGUCGCGAGGACGGCCGACCGGGCGAGGGGGCCAAGCGCGAGGCUGCCGGCAGGGGGUCGCGGGGGAGGCGAGGUGGCGGGGACGAGGGCCGAGACCAGGCUCAGCCGACAAAGGAGGAAGGGAGGCUGGCGAUGUCGGGGAUAGAUCCCAAUUACCCGCAAGGAAAGAAGAAAACAAACUCCUACUAGGAUCCUCUGUAAUCCUACUAUGACUCAUACAUUGUAACCUUACUAGGACUCCUACCUUGUAACCGACUAGUCAUCAUUUUUGUGUUUCUUAUUUUCUACUAAUCAUGGUAGGUGAUACGAAGAUUUUUGAGCUGUUGAAACUAGACCCUCAUAUUCAAGAUGUCAUUCAACACUUGCCAUUAUAUGAUGGUAAGUUUGAUCCUAAAGCUAUAUUGAUUGGGAGCUAAAAGUAGAUAAUGAAUUUGAUGAGCAUGACCUGUCCGAGAAAUAAAAAAUUUAUAUUGCCUCUAAUAUUUUGAUUGAAUAUGCUUUACUAGAAUGGAAACACAUUUGUGGGCACAACAAAGUUUCAGAAUCUUAGGAAGACUUCAAAUUUCUUCUUAAAGAUGCAUUUAUUCCUAAAAUUAGACAAUUUGAAGCAAGAUAGUAGGACUGUGAAAGAAUACCAUCAUGUCUUCAAGAUUUGUGCCAUGUUUGGUGGUUUAGAUGAGUGUAAGAAAGAUAUAAUGAGUAGGUUUAUGAGAAGGCUCAAUUCUGAAAUUCAAACCAUGCUAAUUUCUAAAACUUAUAAACACCUCUCUAUCUUAUUUUUGCUUGCUUAUAAAGCUGAAAAUUAGAUUUUAUUAUCUAGAAAUACUUGCAAGAACAAUGUGACACAUGGUAAUACUUUUUCCUCCACUACACAUCCUAAUCAAGAGCACAAAAUAGUAGAAUUUGCUACUGAUUUGCCUAUGUUGCAACGUGAUUUGCUUGAUGUACCUUGUGACAACGAAGAGUUGUGUGAUAUGUCUUCUCUUCACCAUAAUUAGUGAUAGAGCACUCUCUUGUUCCUUUUAUUGUCCAUGACACGGAGGAUGGGAACAAUUUUAUUGAGUGCAUUGAGCAAAUUGAGCAACUACACCCACUGCUAAACUGUGAAAAUAAUGAUUGUGCAGCACCUACCACGUCGGAGGAGAGCGAGCAAAGCAACACAUUCGAUGCUGAAAACACUCCCUGUGAGUAUGCUUAUAAUACUCUGCAAUUUCCCACUACUGGUGCUAACCUCGCACGGGUUUUAGUAUAACAUCCUACUGAGUAUGCCUUACCACGAACCGAACACUUUUCUCAUAAUGAUAAGGAGUUGUUUAAAAAUGUUUCUUAUAUACUACAAACACAACUUAAGCAUGAACAUGUUAAAUUUGUUUUGAAUGAUGUACAUGUCAUUUCUAUACAUGUUCAUUGCCUUGCUAGCAAGAAGGAAGAGCUGAAACUUCUGUCCUAUUUUAACACAUUAGGUUAUAUUGAAUUAGAAAUUCUUUGUAAUCUAGAUUGUCUAAAAAUGGAACUUAAAUUCGAUUCUGGUUUGCCAAGUUUUAAUCAUUAUUCGUUUCAUGCAAUUGGCAAAUAUGAUAGCAAAAAAGAAUAUUUGAUGCAUAAAAUGUAUAUUUUCUCUAAUCUGAAAUAUCUUUUUGGGCUACAAUACCAUAAUCAAAUAGGAGGCUGCACUAACACUAAUAAUAUCUUGCAAAAUUUUUCUAAUUUUUGCCUUAUGCAACGAGGUAAGCUUGAAGAAGGGGAGCAUUGUUGGUUGUGGUCGUGCAGCAUAGCCGUUGCUCCGUGUUCCAACAUUAAAACAAGUAUCUUUGAAUGUCAUUGGAGCAAAUCAAGGAUGACUUGCAACCAAGAAUGGGAGAAUGAUGAGGACAUCACCUGCUCGGAUACAACCACAUUGGCAACUUUUGAUUCAAAGGUGAAAUAAUUCUUUAUCAUGAUUGUAUUUGAUACAUUUGAUGAGUUGAUGCUGCACCAUAAUUUGUGUUCAUUGUUAUUUUCAGAAAUAUAUACGUGGAUCAAAAAGAGUGUUAAACACACAUGGAAGGCAUGGAAGAUCAAAAAAGUUCAUUGGGGACCAAGUCUAAAUAUUUCCAAUGUCCUCCACCAGGCCACCACGUCACUUUUGGGCUAAGGAAAGAAAGAGAUCAAAUCCAACACGUUUUGGGGCUGGAUUCGGACUGCAGCACUGCACCAACUUGUGACAGCCGCCAAGACUUCAUCUGGACUUCGUUUUGGACGUUCAAGUACUUGAUGGAAACCUUAUCAAGUCUACUUUCAUAUGGAUCUGGACUCAUGUCCAUAUCUGCUCUGAGGCAGCCACAAUCGUUGAUUUACUACAGAGAUCUUUUCUAUCCACGGUGCUGCGUUACCUGAUUAUGUCCCGAUGGGCCGUGUAUCAAGUGGGGCCUAAUAGGGGUGCGUCCUAGGGUUGUAGGAUGACCCCCACCAUGUCCUGAUUGUCCUCUACCCUCUCGUAUACCACCAUAGCCGCCACAAACAGAUUGGAUUUUGUUUAGAUGUAAGUUUAGCCAUUGCUACUUCCUUGUAGACGUGUGUGUCAACUAAACCAUCCGUUCUACUCGAUUCAGAACCCCAACUUUGUGAUUUCAGAUUGGUUUUUAUCUCCAUAUUUGUAAUUAAGUUACUUGUUCUACUUAUUCUUACCUGUUCCUCGAUUGCUUGCAGCAAUUACCCUAGUGGUUUGGUUGAUCGUACUUCACAAGAUCGCAGCGACCAUCGGAGGUGGUGUAUCGGUUGGUAAGGUACAACAUCCUUAGAUGAUUGUAGUCAGGAUGUGAACGUCAUCUACAUCCCCAAAUCAAGUUAUCCUUGAAUGAUCCCCUUUAGCACCGAAGACUGAUACUAAAAGGGGUUUGGACCUGGUACAAAAGCGCACACCCAGCAGUGUGCGGCUACCUACCUACCCAUCCAUGUCUUGUCCGAACCUAGCUUGGCAUAAUGCCAUGGACAUGCAUUGUUUAUUUGUUUUGUUGCCCGGCUCGUGCUAGCUCUUCCGUCGUCGUCUCGACCGUCAUCGACAGUGUCACUGACGGUGUGUCUGCUUGAAUCGAUAGAUCAUAACGAUCACUGCCCUCGUUAUUUGCACACACGGCGUGUCGUCUUCAAAGUUAACAAAAAUACGACAUCUCCUCGAACCAAUGCAUCAUUAGGCAGGCACUUAGCACGCACGCAUGGUUCUUCAUAGUUUUUCUCCCCGUAUAUAUGUACAGGCACGUACACACAUGGUUCGUUAAGAAUCAUGCAAACUACGAGCGCAUCCAUCUCGUAUCGUACGCCGUCCAUCGUCCGGGGUCCGAGGAGCUAGCGACCAAGCCAAGCAAGCCCAUCGACCUUGGUUCCAGCAAAAGCUUUCCAUCGUUUUCUUGUUUCCUUCAGCCUACGUGCGGUAGCAUGUGUAUUGUGUACUUCCCACUCGCGUGGAAAUUCCAGGCAUGUUUUUUUUCCCGUAUAAAAAAAUGUGUGGCUCUUUUUUUUUCUUCAGGAAAUUACAAGGGCCAGCUAGCAAAAGUGAAAUUGAAGGAGGAGGGAGUACUCUUACACAGCUAUAUGGUACUACGGAGUACUAUGCACGUGUGCAGUAGGAAAUUCUCCGAUCAAACUUUGAUCACCGCACAUAUAUUAUUGCAGUUACCUACUUGUCCUCGGAACCCAACAAUUUCCCAGUUCACGUUUCUUCGGACAGCCAAAUUAGCCUAUACGUAGUUCGCUCUGAAUCAGAACUAUAUGUAAUCAAAAUUCUUACCUUUACUCUCCCUAGCUAGUUUGUUUUUAUAUUCUGAUAGAUUGUUCUUUUUUUUUGUCAAAGAUUAAAAAAAAGGACCAAGAGCCGUUCCACUCAACGAAGAAGAAUAUAUUAGGAGCACUUGAAUUCGAGCUAAAAUUGACCAAGUAGAGCCUCCUAGUCUGACUGCAUUUCCUACCACCUCUACUGCUUACUAGUAUUUGUUCAUUACAGACUCCAUAAUCGCGCGCCAAUUUAGACGAAACCAAAACACCAGUUGCUACAAAUUCUCGCCAGCUAGCCUUCCUACUUGGACAUGUCCGGCCGCUCAGCCAGCACGGCGUACGCGACCUCGCUCCGAUCUGAACAUUAUUGCAUUGUAAAGAAAGACGGCCCGCCCUAGUUCAUGGAGCUGGAAGCAAUGCAAUCGUCGUCGUCGUCCCCAAGAAAGCAGUCAGUCACCUCCUUUUUCGUAGCGACAACACCAACAAAAGCAACUGACAAGACCACGGACAUCAUUCCAAUUUUCAAACUCGACGGGCACCUGCGGCCUCCAAGUUCAAACGUUUUUUUUAAUCCCGUGGCCGGAACGGAUUGACUUUGACUUUCUCUCGAGUCUCGAUCGUGGCAGCAGAAUGAAUACGACCAUUCGUGUUGACACUUGACAGCUCCAGUAUUCACUUUUGGCUUGCGAUAAACUUCAAGCAAACGCGUCAUGGAAUCCCGUCCGUCCGUCCUGCACGGCUCUUAACUAUUCGCCUAACUCGUAUGCUUGUUUUCUUCCAAACUUAGCAACAAAAAAUAUAAAUGGAGCGCCUAAAGCAAGAUUUCCAUGCGAUUUUCGGCACAUUCCGAAUAAUCCUGAUGCCCUGAUAUGAUAUGAUAUUACAUGACGCGAGAGUGCAAUUUCAAGCUGCAAUCCAGAGCUCGAUCAACGUAGCGUGCGUGGAAAAGGGGAAUUGGAAAGAGACGCAGCAGCUCGAUCGAUCGAGCACUCCAGGUCUACAGCGUCCAGCUCUUUUUCAAGGCUGGAAGGCGAGGAGGGAGGUACCACGGUUUGGUGCAGGUCGUUGGGGCCCGACCUGAAAGCCGUCCGGCCACCAGCCCCGGAGCCGUGCACGUGGCCACCGCCACCUGCCACGGCCAGCCAGCCAACCACGGCGUCCUCUCUGGCCCUCUCCCUCUCUCUCCCCCGGAACAAGAAAAAGAAAAGGAGGCAACCCGCCUGCUUCGCGAAGCUACCACCGGUUCCCAAACUGCCCCUAGAACUGUCAGCAUCGGCGGGCGGGGCGCGUGCCGACGGGCGGAGGCGGAUCACGGUGGCGCCGCGGCCAUCUGGCAAUCUGGCAUUGCCUCGCGACAGCGCGGGUCAAAGGCAGCCGCGACGACGCGCGCCGCCUGUCACCUCGGACGACGAGGGAAUUCGAUUCACCCCGUUGGCUGAACCAGAUGAGACGAGAUGGGAUUUUUGCGUGCGCUCCGGCGUGUUGCCGCCGCGCGGCAUGUGGCCGCACGCCGGUUGCGACGGGCGGGCCAAUCGUGUGCUCCCCGACGUUGAAGCUUUUGGUUAGCAGCGUUCUGACGUCGAAGGCUCGAAGCUGACGCUACAUAUUGCAUUUGCAACAUAUAAGUUUUUUUAAUAAGUUUUUCAAGGGAAACUUUUCUCCUUUUCUUUUCCCCCUCAAGGCGUAGGGCACCCUUUCAAUUGUUAUAAUGGGCAAAACAUAGCACUUUUAUUUUGCUUGUUUCUCCAGGAGUUCAAGGUUAGCAUUCUAGUAUUUUUCUAUUCUAAGAGGGAAUGCCCGUGGUUUUCUUGAUGAGAUCGAAGCACCUAUUUUUGUCUUAGUUCAUGAGUUUCUAGUUUUCCAAUACAAUUUUACUACUACUUAAAAUAUUCAAUUGACAUGUUCCAAUCGUUGCAUCAUAAAGAAGGAUGUGCCUUAUCGAAGUACAGUGUUGGUAAAUUUCUAAUGAAAUAAAUAGGAAAUGUUAAAACAUGUGAAUUAAGGUUCCCAUAUGUUCUACCAUGUUUUUUUACUUUUUGCAGAAUGUUCUGCCAUGCUUAUUAGCCUCCAAGUGGUUGUUGAAUGACAAUAAUCAAUAUCUGGACAAUAGCGAGGUGAGCACAUUUCAGUAGCAUUCUAAGAAAUUGACGGGUCUUGUUGUUGCUAGUAGCUAGUAGCUAGAAGAAGCGGAAGAAUUGGAGCUGAUUGCGAACCGUGCCCCUAUUGUUUUUGCAAUGUCUUUUGUUGCAUGGAAUUGUAUUUAUGUGGAGAAUUUUUUUUAGAAGUCACGGGACGAAAAGUUCCCACCUGAAUUUCAUUAAACCACAGAUGUCGGAGUAGCCGGUGAUGAUUUAGGUGCAAGGCACCUUACAAGCAUUGGACGGCUGAGCAGCCAGAUGAGUACAAUUUUAGAGAAGAGAAAGAAACAACAGGGUGCAACACCAAAACAAAGCUCACAAACAAUUCAAAGACGAGGUAUGACACAGUUGAGAGACAACCAUUGAUUGUCAAUUUGCGCCACCACCGAACAAAGUACUCGCCGCUUGCACCAUGGCCAUUGCACCCUGCACCACCCCUCGUAGCUACGCCGCCCCGCUGCUGCCCUCCAUCUGAGUGACCCAAUGGAAUGGGGACUAAAGGUAGUGAAGGACACACAAGCCUAAGAUCACCGAAAACGACGGUCUCCUUUGAAGCCGAUGAAGACACCGAAAGCACCUCCGGACUCCACGUACCAUCAUCCAACGCCGUCCAAGGGGAGGGAUCCUUGAAGGGGCAUGGCGGAAGCGGUGGAAACACCACCCGACAUUUGAUUUUCUAUCAACCACCAACAGGAGCACGUCGACGAAGCAGAGGUGUCGAGGAGUGACACUCACUGAACCACAACAGCAGGCAACCACUAGAACCAACCUCACCAGUGAGGUGCAGGGAGGAAGAAGAAGAAGGCACAAUGCACUUGUACACUUAUGUACACAAGGCACUGAAUGUAAGUGUGGCACUUGUGUUCUAGAAAGCCUCGUUUAAAAUGCAUCAACAUAUUUACUAAGUACUGGCUACUGCCAUGACAAUCACCAAUCAUUCACAGCCGUUUCACAUCAGAAACAUCGCUUUCUUUAGCUUUACCAUCCACGAGUAUAUGUGUGGUCGAACCAAUUUCGCGUAGAACCAUCGGACCGAGAACACACAAAAACCUGGACCGGUGGUGGCCGGGGCCCACCCGCGCUGCCCUAGGCUGACAAAACUGCGCGCGCAGGGGUAUUCCCGUCCUUCGGCCACGACCGUAUCCCAUACGCACACGUACCCCGUGAGGCCGUACCCCGUGUGUAUAUAUGCUGCACGCAGCACCGCGGCUUCCACUAACGGCUCUGCGUCGUGGCCGCGUUGCAGAGAAACAGAGGGGAGACAGGAGAGGGGAGGAAAAAAAAACUCGUGUAUCUCUCUCUCUCUCUCUCUCUCUCUCUCUCUCUCUCUCUCUCUCUCCCCCCGUCUCGCGUGUGAGGUGGCGAGCCCGAGGAGCGGAGGCCACAAGUCCAAUCCGCCCGUAUCUAAUCCGCUCGAGCGCCGGGAGGAGGAGGGGGAGCGGGAGCGGCGGGGCGGGCCUUCUUGAUUCGGGGCUCGUUCUCCUGUGCUUCGAGGUGAGUUCCCGGCGAUCUGCUAGCUACGAGUUUAUCCGGUGGGGUUUGGGGUGGCGGAUUCCUGGCUGCAUUCCGGUUUCGUGGGUACUUAGAUCUGGCGGUUUCUCGCGUGGAGUUCUGUCCGUGCCGGGAUGCUGGGGAUUUCUGUUACAAUCCGUGUUUCUUCGGGUUCAAAUUCGCGGGAAUCGCUGGGGCUUGCGUGUAAUGUUUGGUUUUUAGGCGGUGUUUUGCUUGGCAUGAAUUGGUCAUGAACAAUGCUACGGUUUCGGAUGUCGGGUCCGUGUGGAUUCGCCGGCAAUGUGCCUCUGUUCUUGCAAAAAACAAACGGAGCUUUUCUGCGAUGCGUUCCGUUUAAUUGGAUUGGGAACGUUACCCAGCUGGCUUGAGCUGUAUUGUUAGAAGAAAAGGUGAGAUUUCUCUGGGCUAGCGGGCAGCUGUUUGCCCCCAAAACACAUCCUGGCCCCAAAGUUGAAAUGUUUAUCUAAUGGAGGGGCAUUGUCCCUCACUUCCGAAUUGAUUCGUGUGGGCUCAGCUCGUUUUAAUAUCCUUUGAUACUCGCCUUCUUUUGCCCCCUAAAGCUACAUCUUUUAGCAGCUGUAUGCCUGGAUCCGGUGGCUUAUGGCUGAAUUUAUGCCCGUCUAAUUUCAGAAAAUAUUUGUGUUCUCAUAUUUUCUGUAUCACAUAUUGAAAUGUUUAUUGCUUCUUUCUGUAGCUAUAUCGAUUCUGGAAGCCCCAAAGUGGGAAUUUUUAGCCAUCGUAGUCACACAAUAGUUGUGUUCCCUUAAGAGAUCCUAUUCACGAGAAUGCAAUGGAAAAUAGGGGGAAAAGCUGCACAUGUUAUAUCUUCUCAUGAAGCUUUUGUUUCUGUUGAUUCUUUCUUCAGGUUGGCACUUUGGGUGUACAAUCUCAGCUUCUUUGAAUUCCGAAGCACGGUUGAACCAUGGCCGGGUCCCUUGCAGCCUCAGCUUUCUUCCCUGGCCCAGGGGCUUCCCCGGCAGCGGCCGCCAAAACAUCGAAGAACAUGGCUGGCGAAUUACCGGAGAAUUUGAGUGUCCGUGGUAUUGUCGCAAAGCCUGGCGCCCCUUCUGGGAACAUGCAAGUGAAGGCUCAAGCACAGGCCCUUCCCAAAGUUAAUGGCACCAAGGUUAACCUCAAGAAUGCGAGCGCAGACAAGGAGGAGGUGAUACCCUACAGUGCUCCCAAGACAUUCUACAACCAACUGCCAGAUUGGAGCAUGCUUCUUGCGGCUGUCACUACCAUCUUCCUGGCAGCAGAGAAGCAGUGGACAUUGCUUGACUGGAAGCCCAAGAAACCUGACAUGCUUGUUGAUACAUUUGGCUUUGGUAGGAUCAUCCAGGACGGGCUGGUGUUUAGGCAGAAUUUCUUGAUUCGGUCCUAUGAGAUCGGUGCUGAUCGUACGGCUUCUAUAGAGACGUUAAUGAAUCAUUUACAGGUGACAUGAUUACACCAUGAAAUUUCAGUUUCUCUAUUAACUAUCGGUGCAUUUGGUUUCUUUGAGGCUCACACUAUCUUGAAUUUUUCAGGAAACAGCUCUAAACCAUGUGAAGACAGCUGGCCUUCUUGGAGAUGGUUUUGGCGCCACGCCAGAGAUGAGCAAGCGAAACUUGAUCUGGGUUGUCAGCAAAAUUCAGCUUCUUGUUGAGCAAUACCCCUCAUGGUACGUUUCUGGAAACCGUAAAUUACCUUGUCCAUUUCUUAGAAAGCACGUAUUUGUCUUUGCUUUCAAUCAAAUUUGUAACCGUUACUCUUUACGAUCUUUAUGGAAUUGUUUAUUUUUUAUCCUUUGGCAUGCAUAAUUUCUAAAUUAAGUUCUGUGUGUGCUAGAAUAGUGUUAUUAUAUGUUAGUAAAUUAGCUCAAGAAAAUGCCCUAAAAAAUAGCUCAAGAAAAAUGUUCUAUAGCUCAAUUUUUCUGGACUGAUUGUUGUGCAUUUUGUAGAUAGAUCGAUCAUGAAGCUUUAUACUACAUAGUGUGAAAACUUCUUAAGUAAUUCUUGCGGUAUGCACUUAGCUUACUGAAGAUUAGCAACACAAAUAGUGUUCGAUUGCUCAUGAUCCACCCUUGGUACAACUAACAUGGUCAAGUCUGCCAAUCUGUGGUUUCUUGAUUAAAAGAGCAGGACUCUGGAGUUGUGCCUCUUUAAUCGAUGGAUUCAAUGUUUACCUGAAGAUAAAAAUGUGCACGUGGUGUGCUUAAGUUUUACUAGUAAAUAGAAUAAUACUAACUAGCAAUUAGAAGCUUAAGAAAACAACUUCCCUACCAAUUUGCUGAUUUUAUUGGCCUGCAGGCUGCACAGAUGAGCAAGGUUAUUGCUCUCUUUUUCUUUGCCUGUUACUCUCAUAGCCUGCAUAAUGCGGCACCUUAAAAUGAUCACUGCGCCCAAGCAAAACACUGUUAGGUGUCUUAUAUUAGUAUAAAACUAUUGUUCGGCAUGAUUGAGUCUGUACUCAGUGAACAAUUUGGAAGUUUUUUGGUUAAAAGAAACAUCUAGGUGUUGGAAGUUCAUUUGUUUGGUAGGGUAAUAUAUUAAUGGCUUAGGACUGCUGAAUUAAGUGGCAUUUGUCCAUGCCUCUUGAAUGUAUGAAUAAAAAAGAUCCGAUAAAUUGUACACCACAAGAGAUCUGAAGUGGCCUUUAUUGGUGAAUCAUCGUAAGAAAUAAAUGUUGUGGGCUGCCAUUUCCUUGAUCUGGAUCGUAGACUCACUGCAUUUAAUUCGCUAUUUAAUUUGAGUCCUCAUAAAAUCAGUAGCUGCUACAAAUUUCUGUAAGAUUGUGUAUAAUGCGUGGGUUGUAUUGCAUUGAGCCUCGAGGGCGAAUAUAUAGGGGUACAAGACUUGAGGGGCAAGAAGCCUCCCCGAGAUAUUUCCUAUACUACCAAAUAUAGUCUAACACUUUCAUUUGUUCAACUGGCAAGUCAUCCGAUUCUAAGUAUACCUUGUUGAAGAAAAGGAAAAAUAAUUUCAACAGCAGUUUUUGUGGUUCAGAUAUAGUUUCGGACGCUCUUUUAUGGGCUGCAAAUUGCAUGAUAUUUUUUAAAAGAAAACUUUCUGUAAUUUUAGGGGAGAUAUGGUUCAAGUGGACACAUGGGUAGCUGCUGCUGGCAAAAAUGGCAUGCGUCGAGACUGGCAUGUUCGUGACUACAAUUCUGGCCGUACGAUCUUGAGAGCAACAAGGUCUGGAAUUUUAUCUGUUUUUGCAUUUAUCGGUUCUCUUUUUGAUGAGGAAGGGCUCUCAGAUUAUGAUCUGCUCCUUACCUUUUGAAUUUUGGGUGCAGUGUUUGGGUGAUGAUGAAUAAGAACACUAGAAGGCUUUCGAAAAUGCCAGAUGAAGUCAGGGCUGAGAUAGGUCCAUAUUUCAAUGGUCGCACAGCCAUAUCAGAGGAUCAAAGUGAGAAGUUGGCGAAGCCAGGAAGCGCAUCUGAUGGUGACGCUGCGAAGCAGUUCAUGAGGAAGGGGCUCACUGUAAGUUACAUCCAUGCUUUCUUGCUUUGCUGCUGUUGUACCUCGGUUAUCAUGAUUUUUCCAUGUGUUAAGAUUUCUCAUGGAACUCCAUUAUGUGUAACAGCCUAGGUGGGGAGACCUUGAUGUCAACCAGCAUGUGAAUAAUGUCAAGUAUAUUGGUUGGAUUCUUGAGGUAAUUUCUUCCAGCCCUACCACUUUUCAUCUUAUUUAAUGGCCACUGCCCUGGCCAUGUGAUGGUUGAUAAGAUCUCACUGGCAUGACUUAAAGUUUAUAAAGUUUUGUGCAAUUGUUUUGUAGUAUAACUGACUGCUAGCACAUAAUCAAUUGGCUACCUGUACCUGUAAAGUAGAUUUUUUUUAAUGAAGUGAUCCAUGCAUCGAUGUUCUUAAUCUUUGCAUAUUCCUGAGGUGAUCAGAUGCCUGAAUCCUUAUCAUUUCACCUUUUAUUCCCCCCAGAGUGCACCUAUUUCAAUCCUGGAAAAGCACGAGCUUGCGAGCAUGACACUGGACUACAGGAAGGAGUGUGGCCGCGACAGCAUCCUGCAGUCACUCACCACCGUGGCAGGUGAAUGCGUGGAUGGUGCAGAUUCCACCAUCCAGUGCGACCACCUGCUACAGCUGGAGUCAGGGGCCGAUAUCGUGAAGGCACACACGGAAUGGCGGCCCAAGCGGGCGCACGGCGGCGAGGGGAACAUGGGGUUUUUCCCAGCCGAGAGCGCAUGAACAUCCCCCUGAAGCUGAACCGGCCGAGCAAGAACGUGGUGGGGGCUCCUGUAUGUGAAGCGCGGAUCCUAAGUUAUGGCUACUAACCCAGAACGAGUGUUUGGUCGUGAGAAGUUUGGCUUGCUGGGGAACGCCGCAUUACCCACCCAACCUGGGACAGUGUAAGGACGGAAGCUGCGAGAGGAUUGGAGGAGGAUGGUGAAGCCCAGGAGGAGAGGAUGAGAAAGGAGCUUGUGUUAUUAGGACAGCAAAACGGGAGGGUGACUGAGUUGUGCUGUGAUACGCCGAUUGCUGAAUCAAGGAGCCAGGAGCUGAUUUGGGGCCGGAGAGCAAAAGAUUGUGCUGCAGGGGACUGUUAGUAGUGGUUUUAGGCCAGGUUGGGCGUGUAGGAGGCAUUCCCUUUUGUAACAGCCUAAUUUGUACAUUCUUACCAUCUUAUCCUAUCCUAUUGGUUGGUUGAAUCGCAGCCCUCCUGCGCUUCCAUCCACGAUGAAUCCAGGACCAUUUCGUGUACCGUUGUGUGUGCAGAGUGGGGUCGUUCGUCUAUGACUGCAGAUCGCAGUGCCACUAGAUCUGCAUCCUCCCUGAAGCUGCUUCGUCAAGCUAGUCUUCCUGUCCUUUUUCUUUAUUUCUCAUGGAUGGAAGGUCUAACCGUGCGGUUCCUGGAUGGAGCAAGGUACAGCGACGUGUAACCUGGCAUGGGUUUCUUCACACCGUCUCCGGCUGUUGGCGUGCGCGCUUGCAACGACUUGUUUGGUGAGAUGCGGUGACGGGGAUCAUGGAUUCAUGGGCAAGGGCAACGGCACUGCACGGCAGGCCGCGAAGAGACCUGGAGAGAAAUGGAGGGGGGUGAGGAGGUGUCGUGAGGCGUCAGGCAACGCGAAAGGUUGGGUCGCGGAGCUGGCGGUGGUUGUGGCCGGCCGUUUGGGUGGCGCCGGACGGCGGAGGCACAGAGAGCUGGACGGCCGGGCGGGCUGCCGGACCGAACCAGCCAACCACCCGCAUUUGGUGCGCUGAGCUGGGCUGGGCCCCGUGACAGCAGCAACGCCACCCGGGCAAGCCAAGCUACUGUGUGGCUGUGAUCGCCGGCGCCGCCCGAAAAGGGUUCUGCCCCCGUACGAGGAUGCUUCCGUUUCUGAUCAAAGCAUCGCACGUGACUGAAGCCAAGCAAUGACUGUUAAUUAGUUCACCAUGGGUCUUUGGAGUUGGAGGUAAAAAACUCAAAAGUGACAAGCAUCCGCAUAGGCGCAGGCGCACAGCUGGUAUCUGUUCCUGGCGGCAAAAAAGGCACGCGGUACCGCCGCCGCCGCGCCGGCGUGGCCUGAUGGAUGAUGGCGACGUACGGCAGCAGUUCUUGUCCGCUGGCCGCCAUCAGCGCGCGGCGGGAGGCUGAUGGCGACGGGCGCCGGCUCGAUGGGUCUCUCGCCGGAGCGGGGAUCGCGAGCCCCAGCGGCCGGCACGCCGCGCGCACAUGGAUGGGAUGGGAGUGAUGGACCGCUCCGCUGCUGUCCGGUGUCGCGCGGUAGCUAGCAAAGCUAGAUCGCGUGAUGGCGAACGACGGGGGGACCCCGGCCGGGUGGGCUUCAAGCUCGCCGUCCGUGUCCGUCCCAGGCAUUGAAUCCGAUCCCCGGUGGCCUGCGAACGUACCCGCGCUGCGAGCCUGCGACGCACGGACACGAUCGGAUCGGCCGGGCAGCGGCUACUGUUUGCCCCCCAGCGACCCCUGCCACGGCACAGGAAUGGGUGGUUCGCGCAUUCAUCGUCUGCCGGCUAUGCGCCUACUGUCCUCAGCUCACUGCUCGCCGUGAUCGGGUGCACUGGUGCCGCCGCCGCUGGCCAUGCUCAUGGUGGCAUGCUAGUAGGGUCCCAACCGGACCAUGAGGGGUGCGUGCCUCGCGCGGCUUUCGUUCUGCUUACACUUUACAGGCUGCUCGUGCGUUCCUUGCCCACAGCAAGGUCAGCAGGUACAGUACAGUGCGCUUGUGUGUGCAAUUGUGGCGCAACGGAGGACAAUGGGAAGUGAGGGAUGCUGAGGAAUCACUCACGGCGAUGCUAAUCGCAGCUCAGACUGCAUUCAGGAUUAUGUGGCCUGACCGACCGAUCUUGGAGCAGUGAGUUUGCUUUGGCCCUCUGUUGACAGGGAUCUUCAGUCCAUCAGGACACAAAAGAACUAGUGAUAAAAAAGGAACCAAAAAAAGAUGGCGGUCUGUUGCAGUAGGACUUUGGGCCUACAGCGGGCUCAUGGUGCAGCAGCCUGUUAUCCUCCCACCGUUGGAAGCGGGCAGUGAUCGCUGCUCUGUGAAGCCAGCCUCACGCUAUUCCUGCCACUUUAGGCCCAGGGAGGCCCAAGACAUUCGUCUAAGCCCCACCAGCCACUACAAACUUGGAACGGGCAGGCCAGCUUAGGCACAACCACGGGCCCAGGACCAAAUUCCGCACCCAACAUCCACGCCACCUUGAUGCCCCCACUUGGGUCACAAGCUCUCGCUACUGAGCUCGGCGAGGGUGGGUUGCCGGGGUGGGAAUUUAAUCUGGUUCUG
RNAcentral lists this long non-coding RNA (46342 nucleotides) under Setaria viridis. Its description in RNAcentral is "long non-coding RNA (SVIR_LNC003845)". The record is from RNAcentral. Lineage: Eukaryota; Viridiplantae; Streptophyta; Magnoliopsida; Poales; Poaceae.